UUUUUUUUAAAGUGACAUUUAUAAAAAAAAACAUUUUUGAUGGGCAGAAACAUAUGCUCCCAAGAGUGGAAUUGGAUUUCUGUUUUACUUUACAUAUGAAGAUUGUCACAAGUCAAACUUUCUAAAGUUUGACCAAGUCUAAAAAGAAAAUAUCAAUAUUUGUAAUACCAAAUCAAUAUCAUUAGGUUCAUCAUUGAAUAUAUUUUCAUUUUGUCAAUGCUGAUAUUUUCAAUAUUGAUAUUUUUACAUUUUGCCGAGAAAAUGUGAUUUGUCAACCACUUUCUGGAGGUUUACAUACAACAAGGCACAAAAUCGAUAGAAGUUCUAACGCAUGUAUAAAAUGGUUACAGAGCUGACAGAGAAAGCAAAGAAAGGACUUUUCAUCAGCCAAGCCUAUGCCAGAUGGAUGCACUUGAGGCGAUCUCGAUCGCCUCUUUGUACUGAAUCAAGGCGUUGCAAAGCAUCAAGUAGUACAGAUAUAACUUUAUACAUGGUGUUUACCUUGGUGCGGCCUAGUACAAUAGUACUCCAUAACUCAUUCGGAAGAGGAAACAUUAUACGAUUCUAACAGCUGACUAGAUUAGACCACCAUACCUGCUACAACAAUCUUAGGACAAAUGGAUCGUCGUGCUAUUUUCUGACAGGGCCUGCAGUUCCGUGCAACCAUCACGAGCACCGGGAAAUUCAAAGGUGGCAAAAACAGAGUGCUUCGGAGAACAAUGGAAUGGAGAGUAAGAUGUGUGUCCAAUACGAAUAAACACAAGCGCAUUUUACAAAGCAAAAAGCAAGUGUAAGAAUCGGUACACUUCUACUCGUAUAGGAUUUAAAAGCGCGGAAUAGAAAGAAAGAAAAACGUGUGUCGGCUAGUAGGAGGCUAGGCAAUGUUUUGUGUCGCAUUUCAAGCUAUGAAUAAGCAAAUGGGUUCAUAUGAAUCAGUUUACAGCUUCGGUGACAUGUUAGAAUGGUUCUGAAGUUUGAGAUACAAGUGACGCAGAGCUGCAACCUUAGACACCAUAGUGCAUUUUGUUUACAUGCAAACAUUUCCAAUAUGAACAGUGGGGAUGUUUGCUGUAAUUACAAGUGAUUAAAUGGGUCAAUGGAAUCAUAUGAACAAAAACACUCAUAGUGACGUCAAAUUUCAACAUUUGUAGAACAUACAGAAGACAUUGGCAACUUUUUUGUUUUUACAGAACCUCCUCUCGACCAACUGCGUACAUUUUAUUCUUAUGUCAUCUAUCCUGCAUAUGACCGAAACUGUACAUUGCAUAUAAUAACUCUGACCUACCAAGGAUAAGCAGUUAAGCACACAUCAUAGACUGAAACAUACUAAUUUGAUCAUCACCCAGAUAAGCUUGUGCACCUCUUCCUUUUAAUACUAAGUUUAAUUGGACACAUAUGGUGCCUAUUAGUAUACCCCCAAAGCAACAUGACAUGUAUCUUCCUGAUUUUUUUAGUUUAAAUGGUUAGAAGAUUUUGGACAGCUUGUACAAAUAAGGAAACAGAAAUAUGUUCAGAACACAUUUGGUGUUUUGGGGUAAAUAUUGAAGAGGGCUGGGACUGCACUCACUGCACUUCACGAGUGAGUUGAGAUACAAGGAUAUGGAGUUGGAGACAUAAACCAUAUACGAAAUAGAAAAAAAAUGCGGUGCUUGAUUUCAUAAGUUGCAACCAUUAGCUUCAAUUCCUUUAUGUACUAGGGAUUAUUUGCUGAAUACAAACUGGAUAUGACACUAGAUUAUAAUAUAAACUGAUAGCUACCAAUGCUACCACCUAUGUGCACUCCUAACUCGGUGCACACUCUAUGGACUAGCAAUCAGGUGAUUCUCCUGAUCUGGCCCGACUCGAACCGAUCUCCAGGUGGACAUCAUGGUGCCGGACCCCUAGGUUUCUUGCAGUGGAAUAUAAUAAGUGUGGCCCAACAUAACAAGGAUGUGUUCCUAGACCAGAGAUGUAACUUUAUCAUGUGCUUGUCAUGCCAAGUCGUUCAGCUAUAACAUGCUGCAUUGCAUAAACCUUCUCGAUAUCCUGAACUUCCUAGAAUUCAUGGUGCAAACUUCAAACAUGCCAUUUUACAGAGCUUAUUUGUAAGAAUAUCUUAUAUUUUGAGAGUACAGUAGCUUUAGGUCCGAUAUAUUAUCGUGCUCAUAUAUGCUUAAAAGGGAUGCAAGCAGGCAACCCACAAAGCCCGCAUAUUAUGCUAAGAUCAAGUGAAACAUUACACUAGACGGAACAUCGCAGGCUGCCCGCUUGCAUCCCUACGAUUUCCGGGCAGUUUCAUCCAUCUGCCAUUUCUUCCCACUUCAAAAGUCAGAAUUUACACAGAAAAAUAGGGAUAGUCAUAACAAACAGGAUAUAAGUUAAAGUUCUUUGAUCCCAGGUGCAUUGCAUGGCAUGAUUUCAGAAAGAGAAAAGUGCAGUUAAGUUUAACAAAAUUAACAGUAGAGGCCAGGGGAAAAACAGUGCCUUUGUGCAGGGUAGAGCGCCGCAGAAUCUUCCAGCUACUUUACAGUCACAGCACUGUCUGUCCCAGCUCCUCUAUAAGCUUCCAGAACUUCAGGAAUAGUUUGCUGGUAACCAGUGACAUACUUCUCCAUGAACUUCUUCUCCCCCAGUAUCAAGUGGCUUAUUCGGAUUCGCUGGAUGACACCCCUUGACACCAAUAUGUCCAGCACCUGGUACCUUGGUAGGAGCCGCUUCUCGUAGCUGAGCGAGAUAAGCAUCGGGCUAGCCGAAACAUACUCCGGGCUCCAGCCAAGCUUAUCGGCAAAGAAGUGCGAGAUACGCCUCACUUUGUCGUCCGAUACAGACAUGCAGUAGGGGUGCCUGACAAAGGCCAGCUUCACCAGCUCCUCGGUCCACCCCAAGCUGAGAUAAUUGUCGAUCCUGCGCUUCCAGGUCACCGGGCUCAGUCUGGCAAACAGCCCAAAGGCGUAAGGGAAGAUGCCGGAGGACGGGCUGACCCCGAGCUCUUUCAUGGCAGCCAGGCUCUCGUUGAAGAAGGAGGACCUGUGAAUGAGCGACCUGGGGUGCGUGGUGACCAGCUUGACGAUGACAGCGUCCGUGGCGCCAUGGUCACGGAGGAUCUUGACCUUGGGGAGCAGGUCGGAGCGGACGUUGCCGUGGAUGAGCUCAAAGGACUGCUUGACGGCGGAGCGCACGUUCUGGUCGGUGCCGAGGAGCUCCCGGAGGAGGAGGUAGUUGGGGCGGAGGCGGCCCUCGAGGCUGUAGCAGAGGGAGCGGUACGGGUUGGCGAGGAUGGUCUUGCGGAUGUGGUCGUCGGUGAGGCCCAGGUCCCGGCGGAAGAAGUCGAGCUUGGGCGCGAGGACGGCGUCGGCGCGGUAGUUGAGCAUCUCGGGGGCGGCGGCCACGACGCGGGCGAGGUCGGCGCCCGCCAGGCCGAGGCCGCGGAAGAGGGCGAGGACGGCGUGCGCCCUCUUGGUGGAGCGCAGGUGGACGCGCCCGGCGAUCUUGGCGACGGCGGGCUCCGAGAGGCCGCAGGAGCUGCGGAGGAAGUGGAGCGUGAGGGAGCACGGGUCCGCCGCGGCGUGGGAGACGCCGGCAUGGCCGCCCAGCAGGUGUUUGAGGAAAUGCGCGAGAGGGAGAUGGCCGCACGAGACCGGUGAUACGGGUGGGAUGCCGCCGCCGGGGAGGAGGAGGCGGUGGCUGCGAAGCAUCUGGCGGUCGGUCGCGGCGUGGGAGAGCGCCGGGAGCGGCGGCCGGGGAGGAGCACGGCGCGGCGCGGCGGCUGCGCGGCCUCCUCUCUGUUUCUCUAGUCUAUCUCAAAUCUGUCAAUCCACCGUGGCUGGGUCGAUUCAGUAUGGAUGGGGGUAAUUUGGACAAAUCCUGGUCUAUUUGGUUAGUUCUGAAUAUCAAAAAGGCCCCCGUGGCAAAAGGGGUGGGUGGAGAAGAGACCGCGUCUUUCCCUCUUGCCACCACAAAUUGACUGAUUUGCCCUAUGCCCUUGAUUCAAUAGUUUAAAAAACCGAACCGGAGAUCGAACCAGUGAGCCUGUCGUUUCAGGUUUUUACUGGUUGGACCGCCGGUUCCCCGGUUCAUCGCCCGGUUGUUUACAUAAAAUAAUACUAUAUGUUCAGCAAUAUUUAUAUAUGCUACUAAUAUAGUGUUAAGUAAUGAUCAAAUAAAAUUAAUUCCUCAUAAUUAAAAACAAAGUAGCAUGGUCGAGUUGGUUAUUGGCACAUGAGCAUGUAAUUCCUGCUCCCUUCUGGGAUUGAACCCCACUUCUUACAAAUUUUGCACUAGUCAUUUUCAUGUUCUUCUCAGGUUUAUUCACCAGUUUUUCAGAAAACCGACCGAUAGUCCAAUUGCAGAACAGUCUUAUAUUAGCUUAAAAAGGCACCAAGGCCGCCGGUUCCCUUUUUUUCCAGUUCGACCGCCGGUCCGUCUGGUUUUUUAGACUAUACUUGAUUCACUAUAACAUGUUAUGGGUGGUGACUCCGCUCCUCCUAGCGAGGUUGUUGCUCCCCUCUCCCAUCGAUUGCAACGUGUCCUGUGGUGGCGGCACUUCAAUGGUGACGAUGAAUACUUGAUUCACUAUAACAUGUUACGGGUGGUGACUUCGCUCCUCCUAGCGAGGUUGUUGCUCCCCUCUCCCAUCGAUUGCAACGUGUCCUGUGGCGGCGGCAUUUCAAUGGUGACGAUGACGCCCUGGCGCUAGACCCACCUCAGUCGCUCUUUUGUUGCUCUUGGCGAUGGGUCUAGGGUUGUACGCAUCGUGGUGAAGUUUGUGAAGAUUGCUUCAGGAGGAUUGUCGACGGUUGAUGUCUUGGUUGACGGCAGUGUUGGAAAUGGAGAUGUUGGUUAUGCCGAAACUGUGCAGGCGGCAAUGAAAGGCGGAUCAAGCACAUUUCUUCGACAAGGGUAUCAAGGUAUUUCCCUCUUGUCACGCCAAAUUGAUUGAUUUGCCCUUGAUUCCAUAGCUUAAAAAACCGAACCGAAGAUUGAACCGGUGAGCCUAUCGGUUCAAGUUUACCGGUUGAUCGACCAUCGGUUCACCAGUUCAUCGGCAGGUUUUUUUACCUAAACUAAUACUAUAAGUUUAGUAAUAUUUAUAUAUGCUAAUAUAGUGUUAAAUGAUGGUCAAAUAAAAUUACUUACUCAUAUUUGAAAACAAAGUAGCAUGGUCGAGUUGGUUAUUGGGCCAUGAGCACGUAAUUCCUGCUCACACGCGUCCUAGGAUUGAACCCCACUUCUUCCAAAUUCGGCAUUAAUCAUUUUUCUGUUUUUCUUUGAUUUAUUCACCAUUUUUUUUCUAGAAAAUAGGUUGAUUUUAUCGGUCUUCUCUGCUCCAAUUGCAGAAUGGUCUUAUGAGCUUGAAAAACCGCCAGGGCCGCCUGUUUCGGUUUUUUCAGUCCGACUGUCGGUCCCGUUCGUUUCUUUAACUAUGCUUGAUCGCUAUAACAUGUUAUGGGUUGUAACUCCACUCCUCCUAGCGAGGCUGUUGCCCCCCUCUCCCACCGUUUGCAAUGUGUCCUGCGGCGGCAUUUCAAUUUCAACGACGAUGCCUUGGCGCUAGACCCACCGUAGUCGUGAGAGGAGUUUGGUGAGUUUAUCUUUUGUUGUUCUUCUUGGGCGAUGGAUCUAGGGUUGUCGACAUUGUGGUGAAGUUUGUGAAGAUUGCUUCAGGGGUAUUUUCGAGGGUUGUUGUCUUGGUUGACAAUGGUGUUUGAAGGUGGAGAUGUUCGUUAUGCCGAAACUGUGCAAGCAGCAAUGGAAGGUGAAUCAAGCACAUUCCUUGGACAAGGUCAGAGCGGGGCCGACUACAAUCCCGAUCAAAGCGUUACUUCAAGUUAUUGAUGGUCAUCCAUGGACUUGGUUGUUUCUUUUUCUUUUUCUUGGGUGGUUUCUACAAACUUUCAACACAUGUUAUUGAUGGUCAUCUUCAAUCACUUCACGUGAUGCACUAUCAAUGAUUUUAUGUCACUGCUUAAAUUUUUGGAGCAUUAUUUUCCACAAAAUAGUACUACUAGGUGUACAACUAUUAUUUUGUACUACUCUAUCCCAUAAUAUAAAAAUGUUUUUUAAGCUAAAACAGUUUGAAAACAUUCUUAUAUUAUAGGACAGAGGGAGUAGCAACUAAUAGUUUUGACUUGAAGCAUAAUAAUAUCACUCUGCUUAGUACUACUGCGGACCGUCUCAUUCCGCCUGUCAGUACUUUUAUUUUUCAUUACGCAUCUUUUUUCUUCUAACGUUAUACACAUCCAUUCCUACUGGAACAAGAAGAGAGGCAUUUCCAACCGUUUAGUCAACAGCCAGCCGGCGACUCUCUCUUCUGCUAAGUCAAUGAAAAGCCAGCAACGCUGGAUCUUUCAAAAAAAAAAAAAAAACAGCCAGCCGGCGAGUGAGACUGCCUGUGGGGCCCAAUCAACUUGGACACGAGCAGAAGAUAACCCCAGCACUCCAGCACUGGACAGGCAAAGAACACUGACUACACAUAACCCGAAGAGGUAAUUACUUACCAUCCCUCCUUUGAACAGCUCAAAAACCUACAGGCCGAUCCAGUCCAGGUCAUUCAGGUUCAGGCAUCUCUCCGCGGCCGAACGAAACUUGGUGCUGACAUCUGCAUCAGUUUCACAAGGCAAACACAACGAAAUCUUACUAAUAUGGAACUUGGUUGGACAAUCGCGACAAAGUCGAGCAUAUUGCUUGCUCUACAUUGUGUUCUUGCUGCCAGCUACAGCAGCGAUGGGUAGAGUUUCAGUUUCAAGGUCGUUGAAUUCGGCGUCUCCUGAUUUCAGUCAAGGAAUCAUCAUCAUCCCGUGAGCCUGCCUGGAGUUUCUGGUUUGAAAUGCACUAGGUGUAAAGGUAACUAAGAUGGAAGAUCCCAGCUUCCAGAGCUAUUAUUAACUGAACUCAAGGUACGACCGAAUGAUCAAAUUUCAGACCAAUUGUUUUCAGAGUACCAGGAAAGGAAAGUAACCACCACAGGCUCUAGGCCUAGGUGUGUAUGAAUGACCUAGCAGUUUAAUGAGCUUCAGUUACACAAAAACGAAGCCGGUUUCAGAGCAAUUAGUUACUUUGGCUGAUACCUCUUAUUCCCCAUUGAAGGCAGAAUUUACCGACUCCGAAAUUUAUACGGGUGCAAGCUCAGAAGUCUUACAUCCAAAAUUUGUGCGAUGUGCUCUCCUUGAGUAAUUUGAUGCAGGAGACAAGCAAAAGUUGUAGUGAUCAGCCCUGGUGAUUGGUGAAGAUCUCCAUUGUCUAUCUUUGCUCUGCAUCUAGUAUAUGGUUUAGGGAUUCUGAAAAGAAACAAAAAGAAAAUCUAGGCAAAACAGAGCAGCACAAUGCUCAUCAACAGUUAAUUUCUGGGCAUCAAGGGAAUAUAUAUCCUUCUCUCCUUAAUACCAAACUCAACAUAGUAACAUGUUAGGCUAACGACACCAUAAGCUUCACGGUGACAUCAAGUGCUUACACCUUCACAGAAACCCCACCUACGUACACAGGGUUGCGAGUGACUCUUGUUACCAGCCCAGAAACUACAACUGUCCAUUCAUUUUACACCCUGCAUUGUACCAAAAUGACCCCACGCAUGCUAAAUUAGCACUUCAAAGUUCAAACUCAACCUCUACCGAGUCUGACUUCUCACUAACACCACCACCAGCCAAGGACUGAUUCAUCUCAUUGACCACCAGGAGGACGGAUCUGCAGAACAAGGGUGCACGAACAAGAGAUCUCUUCAGCCAGGGGGGCGCCGCCCUGGUCAGAGAGCUGCUGAUGGUCCGGGAGAAUGCACAACUCAGAGUAGAUCCACGCUUUGAUAUCGUCAAUGGUCUGUCCGGGCUUAAACGCGCGAUCAAUGACCUCCUUCCCGUUCACCGUCCUGACAAAUAUGCGCAUCCCACCUCUCUGCCUCGUGACGCCGCGCAACACAACAUGAAGGGUAGAUGCAUGUUGCACGUCGUAGUCAGCCAAGGUGCGGCCAUCCUCCAGCACAUUCCCAGCAAAGAUGAGAGUCUGUCUGUCUGGGGGAACGCCGGUUUCAGCGGAAACCUUUACCUUCACACUGUAUAUGGUAUCUUCUCCCUCAGCCACAGCAGUCAUGAUCUUGUCAGUCAGUCCCCUGAUAAUGAUGUGCAUGUGCAUCCCACUUCUUUGACACGUGAGGCCGUGGAACACCACAAGAUGAAUGGUACAUUCGUUGUGCACAUUGUAGUCAGCCAAGGUGCGGCCAUCCUCCAGCUGCUUCCCAGCAAAGAUGAGACGCUGUCUGCCUGGGGGGAUGCCGGUUUCAUCAAAAAUCUUUGCCUUCACACUGUAUAGACUAUCUUCUCCCUCAACAUCAAUAGCCAUGAUCUUGCCAGUCAGUGUCUUGACAAAAAUGUGCAUCCCAUCUCUCUGACACGCCAAGCGGAACACAAUAUGAAGUGUAGAUUCAUUUUGCACGUUGUAGUCAGCCAAGGUGCAGCCAUCCUCCAGCUCGUUCCCAGCAAAGAUGAGACGCUGUCUGCCUGGGCAAAUGCCGGUUUCAUCGUAAACCUUUGCCUUCACAAUAUAUAUGCUAUCUUCUCCCCCAACCUCAAUAGUCAUGAUCUUGUUAGCCAGUGUCUUGACAAAGAUAUGCAUCCCUCGGGGGACAAGGUCAAGGGUGAGCGUGGACUCUUCCUCGAUGUUGUAGUACUCCAGGGUGCCGCUGUCCAUCAGCAGCUCACUGCCAAACAUGAGUCUCUGCUGGCCUUCAGGGAUGCCCUCCUUGUCUCGAAUCUUAUCCUUGACAUCAUAGAUCGUAUCUGAUCCCAUGACAUCAAGAGUGAUAGUCUUUAAACAGUGGAUCUUUCUUUUUUUGCGAAAAUUUGAACAGUUUAUUUUGACAAAGAUCUGCAUCUGUUGAACAAGCGCACAAAACAUUAGCAUCUUAGACACAAGGCUUUCAUUAAAGACACCAAACUGUAAAUGAAAAGAAUAGUAGCAAUUCCAACAGAUAGUAGAACUAAAAACAGAAAUCUGCACAUUAACCGCAACAAACCAUCAAGUUCCACGAUGAUGAUAGUUGGUGUUGCACAGGGUAAUACAUCUUGUUAAGAUCAGAAGGACUAGCAAAUUAUUGAUAAAUAUAAACAUCAGGGCUGUUUUGGGCUAUGUUGUCAGUCAUUCAUAGAUACACAACAAUGUUUUGAGAAAAUCAAGUAUCUUACACAAAGUUGACAGAUAUUGUGAUAUUAUAGUACAUAAUACUUGAGAAUCCUACAGAUUAGUCCUUUUCCUUCUUUUAAAUAUAAAUCAAACGAGAACAAGUUUGAUAUUCUCCAUCUAACCGGUCAUAAGAUCUGACAAGUCUAAUGAGAUCAACCCCAUCUAUGAUGCAUUACCCUUCAAAUUAAUCCAUGGAUUGGAAAUACAAAAAAAACUACCAGACAAAUGCAUUCAAGAUCAAACGUUAUAUGCAGGUAGACCCUACUAGAGACUGAGACCAAACCAACAGCUGUAUACGAUUCAGGAUACUGACCUUUAUAUCUUUGGCCAGCAAAAUGUCACAAUGGUGUAAAUUAAAUGAUUGACUGGCCAGAAACAAGUAUGGGGCAAUGUUAACUUGUUAAGUGCUGAACAGGAGCAGGAAGACCUUCAAGUUGCUAUAUGAUCAUAUAAGGCUGAUCACGACCACAGUUCUCAUGCAAGGUUAAUUCAUCAGGGAGUCUGUCAGCAAUAUUGGAUCCACUCGGAUGACAAAAGUGAAAGAAACAGCUAUCUUAUAAGGAAUAUGAACACUUCGAUCCACUCGAUUUCUAGAGAAGAUGACACAGCAAAAUUGUUUACAGCAAAAUCAUCUAGAUCUCGAGGAGAUAAGUAUCACAUAUGCUGAAUCUGGGAUGGAUCAGGCAAAGAUGGAGCAGUACGUGAGAAAAGGAGAUUGAAAGAGAGACUCACCGUGCACUGUUCAAGAUCCAUCUCAUUAGUAUCCUCACUAGUCACCUGCUACCAAACAGACCCUGGUCUAUUAGCACUCCCCCAGAAGAGGAUUAUCCUAUGUAGACAUCAGAUAUCAUGGAAAUCAAACCUAACCCCUAAUUAAUGGUUUUUUUCCAGGAACCUUCUUUAGGUUGUAUCAUGCAUUAUUAAUUAACAAGAAAACCAUGGGCACAGAUCAAUGACUAAGAAAAUCAUGGCAUACAAAAGCUGGACAGAUUGUUUUUCAGAUGUGGAACUGAUGUUUCAGUGAGUACCUUGAGUUGAGAGUUAUCGGGGUCAGAGAGAGCUUCACAGGCUUCGGAAUCCACCAAGUCCCUCUUUUGAAGUUCUACAUUGAACACAAAAGGAAUGAUAUCAGUAGCAGCAUAAUUCGCCAGAGUUGGGCGCUUUGUUCUAGAAGUUAAACUCUCCUAAUGGACAACCAAAUUGCUGUUGAGCACAUCAUAGAGCUACAUAGAUAACUUCCUGACCCAAAUGGAGGGGCCAAAAUGGGGAAAUGAUGCCAAUUUUCCAACCCAGAUCAUUCAAAGCAAGCAACUUUUUUGUGGCCUGAGAAGAAGAGGAGAGAUUACCGGCAAGCUUGGGAUUAGCACCUGGAGGCAGCUCCGCGUAGGCCGCCUUCCACCUCUCCCUGCUGGCCUCCGCCUUCAAUCGCAAGCACAGGAGCCAGCAUCAGGCGAGAACAAGCCAUGAUUAUUUACGAAACCCCCAAAUUGACAGAAACCCUAGAGGGAACCCGCGGUCCAGCGAAUCACCUGGAGGAGGCGGGCACGGAGGCUCUUCUCGCGGGCUUCCGACAGCCUGUUGAUUUCCUCCAGGCGCGCGCGGUCGGCGGCCAGCUCCUCGACCUGCGGCAGCAACCCCAUGAGCCGGUCGUAGACGCGGCGCCACUCCGCGGAGGGGAACUCAAGAGGCAACGCCCCCGGACCGCCGCCGCUCAUGGAGACGACGGAUGGUCUUUUUCCCCCUCGCUUUCGUGUGGUGGCAGUGACCCUGGAGCGAGAGCAGAGCAGAUCAAUGCGUGUGGCCGUGUGGGCGAGACUGGGGUCGACGGGAAGCUCGUGGAGUGGGGAAUCCGAUGGUGUGGUAAGCGCGAGGAGGGGAUUUGGGUUUCUCUCUGAGACAAGCAAGCUCGUCAUCCGUCCAUGGCGGCAGGAGCGAGGGAGGGUGCGUGGAGUGGGAGAGUGUUGGGGUUUGGGGGUGGAACGAAGCGGAAGGGUGGGGAAGAAACCUCUUUGACUGAUUCGGCUCUGUAUAUCCCGCCGCCGCCGACGGCUUUUAGGGUGCGUUUGGGAGCCAAAGUAUUUUUGUAAGAAUACUAUGGUUUUUGAAAAAAUCUUGGUAUUCAAUACUUUGAGUCGUUUGGAUGAAAAAAUACUAUAGUUUAAUAAAUCGUAGUAUCUUUAAAACGGUGGUAUUUUCAUAGUAUAUGAAAAAGAGGCCCAGACCUUUUUUAAAAAAACUGAGAAAUGUUGGCUGGGUUGUCUCUCUGUGUCCAUCUUCUUCUGGCCAUCGACGCAUGUGACACCUAGUGCCGGCUGAAAACACAUGUCAACUUGCAGUGCAUGUCGUAACUAGCUCUGUCUUUGAUUGAUUACAAGAGAUAACUCUAAUCCUUCCUAGCAUCUACUAGGAGAGAACAUGCCCGUAUAAAGCUACGGUGGCGAUUAGCACAAGCUGAUCGAUGAGUGUAAUUGCGUAUGCAUGCAACAAACGUAACAAUCUGUGCAAACCAAAGAAAAUUGAAAAAAGCUGCCAGUUGCCAAACACCUCGGCGGUAUUAUCGAAAUUGAGAAAAUCUAUGUUUUUCAUAAACUUGAGUAUUUGUUGCCCAUCUAUUGAAAUACUGAGGUUCUGAAAUACUAUGGUUUUAAAAAAAUGGUGAUGCCAAACUAGGCCUUAGCCUCUUUUUGGUUUGUAGGAUAGGAAUUUUAUAGCAAUGGAAAAAUCAUAUGAAGUGAGAUUGAUACCUGUAGAGAAAGAAAUGUCAUUUGAUGUAUAUGAUAGGAUUUUUUUUCAUUGAGUCUAGGCUAAUGUUUUUUCUUCAAAAUAUGAAGGAUUGAUUUCUAUUCUACAUAGGAAUAGGAAUCCAUUUCUACAAACCAAAGGGCUUCAAAGGAAUUUUUUCUUUGCAAAUCCUAUUCCAUAGAAUUCUUACAAAAAUCCUACAGACUAAAAGAGGCCUUAACGUUUUCAGAUUGUUUUCUUGAGGGGCACGUUUUCAGAUUUUUUUUAGGGGGGCGGAACAAAGGCGCUAUAUUUUUCUCGGCCCGUAAAAAAAUAUACAAUGACCGGAAGAAUGCACAAAUCAAGCAACAACAUUAUUGUUGUGAAGAUCAUUGUCACCAUCACCAGCCAUAGCAACUCGAUCAUCAUCUUCAUCCACAUUGACUGAAGAAUGAGCAUCAUCAUCUUCACUGGCUGAAGCAACAACAUGAACUUCAUUUGCCGAAGGACCACCACCACCAUUGCCAAAAGCUUCACCACCUCCACCUCCACCUCCACCUCAAUUGCCGAAAGCUCCACUACCUCCAAAAACCUCACCACCACCAUCAUCAAUGUCGAAGCCAACACCACNNNNNNNNNNNNNNNNNNNNNNNNNNNNNNNNNNNNNNNNNNNNNNNNNNNNNNNNNNNNNNNNNNNNNNNNNNNNNNNNNNNNNNNNNNNNNNNNNNNNNNNNNNNNNNNNNNNNNNNNNNNNNNNNNNNNNNNNNNNNNNNNNNNNNNNNNNNNNNNNNNNNNNNNNNNNNNNNNNNNNNNNNNNNNNNNNNNNNNNNNNNNNNNNNNNNNNNNNNNNNNNNNNNNNNNNNNNNNNNNNNNNNNNNNNNNNNNNNNNNNGAAGCCACCACCAGCUCCAACACCUCACCAAUAUUGCUGAAACCACCAUCACUCGCCAUAAGAUUUUUAAGCUCCAUAUUCCUCGAUCUGUUGCCAAUACUUCAUUGUGCUUUGAUCUUUGUCGGUCACCGCAUCAAGUGGCACACUCUCCCAUGAUUGAAUCAAACAAACAUCCCUACCAUUGUGUAGUUGUCUGUCCUUUUCCCUAUUUUGUCUUGGCUAGCAUCGAACCCAACCUCCUCAAGCUCAUCUACUUCAUCACCACCGACAUUCCCUUGUUCCAGCUCGGCUUCGACCUCUACUUGAUUUGUCGAAUCGAAUUUGUCAGGCGGAGCACUCAAGUCCACCGCAUUCUCCUCCAACAUUUUCGAUAUAUGCUGAGUGAAUGGUUUUGGCUAUGAAAUUCAAUGGCCGAAACAUAAGGAAAAUGAUCCAAAGUCGAACCAAAGAUCACCGGAGCAAAGGAAUUAUUUUACUUCUCGGACGUUUCAUCGAACAUGCUGUACACAUGGGCGGUGGAGUGGACGGGAGCGGGGAGGACAUGGCCGAUUGGAGAGGGUGGACGAGGAGCCCAGUCUCGAGCCGUAGCCGCCUUCUUCCUUGGUCCCUUUGAUUGCAACUUCGCCCGCGCACCGAAGGGGCCAGAGGAGGCACUCUUCCUCGAGCCGGCAACUGCGACGAGAAGGAGCACAAUGGCGUUGGGAGAAGGCGGCACGACGGCGGGCACGCGUCCUUGCAAGAGGUGAUUCCCCUGCCGCUUUCGCUUGGAGCCGAUAGAGGAAGGUGUUGGUGCUGUGGCGGCAUGCAUGGCCGCGGGAGGGGCGAAAGGCCGGAGUGGCACCGUUGGGUCCCGGUGGCUGUGGGUACUCCAUAGCGGCGGUUGGCGGCGUGACAAGGUGAGACAACGAGGGCCCAACGGGAUUAGCGGCGGCGAGUGGAAGCGAGAAUGGAACGGGCGAAAGUUUCCUUCGCGGCAACGAACGGGUAGGAUAGAGGAACUGGUAAACGAAGGGGACAAAACCGUAAAUAUGGCAGACAGGGGCCAAAACUUACAGGAUCCGACAAGAAACCUCUACUCCUAAUGGACGAAUUGGUUGAAUAGUCCCCCCCACUUUCAACCGGUUUAUUUUCAACCGGUUUAUUUUCAACCGGUUUUUCUUCGUCCCACCUCCCACCAGCCCCUCCCAUCGGUUUUUCUCUUUUCUCGUCUGACCGGCAAUACCCAACGUAUUUAUGGUAAUCAAUCAUAAUUAAUCCACGUAUAGUAAUAAAUCAAUCCAGGUAUGGUAAGGUCAUAACUUAGGAAAUUUUGAAUAUGGCAAUUAUAUGGUAAUAAAUUUAAAUUACCCCAAAGGCUAUCAAUCCAGAUAUGGUAAGGCCAUAACUCGGGAAAUAUCGAAUAUGGUAAUAAAUUUAAAUUACCACCAGGUAUGGUAAGGCUAUCCACGUAUAGUAAUAAAUCAUAUAGUAAUAAAUCAUAAUUAAUCCACGUAUAGUAAUAAAUCAAUCCAGGUAUGGUAAGGUCAUAACUCAGGAAAUUUUGAAUAUGGUAAUAAAUUUAAAUUACCCCAAAGGCUAUCAAUCCAGGUAUGGUAAGGCCANNNNNNNNNNNNNNNNNNNNNNNNNNNNNNNNNNNNNNNNNNNNNNNNNNNNNNNNNNNNNNNNNNGAAUAUGGUAAUAAAUUUAAAUUACCCCAAAGACUAUCAAUCCAGGUAUGGUAAGGCCAUAACUCGGGAAAUAUCGAAUAUGGUAAUAAAUUUAAAUUACCACUAGGUAUGGUAAGGGUAUCCACGUAUAGUAAUAAAUCAUAUAGUAAUAAAUCAUAAUUAAUCCACGUAUAGUAAUAAAUCAAUCCAGGUAUGGUAAGGUCAUAACUCAGUAAAUUUUGAAUAUGGUAAUAAAUUUAAAUUACCCCAAAGGCUACCAAUCCAGGUAUGGUAAGGCCAUAACUCGGGAAAUAUCGAAUAUGGUAAUAAAUCAGCGAUCCGUCCGCAUUACUAGCUCAUCCGAUAAAUCAGCGAUCGAGUAAUUAAACCGUGCAGUAAUUAGUUCCGUAUAUGAAAGGAACCGCCGGAGUAUUCCAUAGAUUAGCCACAGGAUUUUGGCAAUCUCGCUGUGGCAUCUCGGAUUUCGGAAAUCACGUGCCCGCAGACGCCGCCGUGCCCCCCCUGCAACCACCGCCGGAGUCGGAGGCGAACGCGAUCGCAAUCGCGACGUGUAUAUAUAUACAAGGACGUACUACGUGCACAAGGGCCUGCAAGCAAACCCCAGUGCUCCUGAUCACCAUGCAUUUCUUCCAGGUCGUCAUGGCGUGGAUGUUCCCGUGCGCCGUGUGGGCGGCGAUGGCGCCGGCCGUGGCGACGGCAGCGACCACGGACGGCGCUUCGAGCGUUGAGCAGGGCAGCUCCUCGUCGCCGGCGUUCGGCCCUGGCGACGCUAAGGUGGCCUCCAACCCGGGCUCCUCCCCGGCGUCGAGGUCGUCCACCUCCUCCUCCUUGCUCGGCGCCCGAAGCAGCUCGUCGAACAGCGCGCGCUCACCGGUGAGGGAGGGCGGUGACACGGCCGCACGGAAGGGCCACGCGCUAAGGCGGUGCUCCUGAUCACCAUGCAUUUCUUCCAGGACGUCAUGGCGUGGAUGUUCCCGUGCGCCGUGUGGGCGGCGAUGGCGUCGGCCGUGGCGACGGCAGCGACCACGAACGGCGCUUCGAGCGUUGAGAAGGGCAGCUCCUCGUCGCCGGCGUUCGGCCCUGGCGACGCUAAGGUGGCCUCCGACCCGGGCUCCUCCCCGGCGUCGAGGUCGUCCCCCUCCUCCUUCUUGCUCGGCGCCCGAAGCAGCUCGUCGAACAGCGCGCGCUCACCGGUGAGGGAGGGCGGUGACACAGCCGCACGGAAGGGCCACGCGCUAAGGCGGUGCCUGCGCAGGUUUGCCAGAAAUCUGCAGCGCGCCGGUGCUGCGGACGAGCGGCCAGACGGGCGCGGGAGACGGAAGGGCCGGGCGACGAAGCCGGACGGGAGGGUCGCCGCCGGCGAGGACGGCACCGCCCGGGCGAGGGAGGAGGCCGUCGCGAGCGCGAUCGCCUACUGCAAGGAGUCGAGCCGGCAGCGCUGCAGGCCGCCGUUGGCUCCCUCGCCUAGCUUGGGCGGCUGGCUCCUCGUUCGUCCAGAGGAGGAGAUCGGCACCAGCGCCACGAGCGCCGUCUCGCCCUGCGAAUGCGAGGCGCAGGGCACCUCGAGCGCCGCCGCCCCCCACCACGGCCACGCGGCCUGCGACGGUACGUGUUGUCAACCGAUCCGUCGGUCGAUCUGCUUUGCUGCACCCGUGCACGUCUGAACCGUCGUUGAUCUCCUUCGUGCAGCAGAAUGCGGCGGCGGCAGGCCGUCGACGGUGGAAACUCGGCGAGGUCCAGCCGGGGAGAUGGAAAAGGGUGACGCUGUCGACGGGCUUGACGGGGACGUCCUUAGGAUAACGAGUUACUUCGCCGCCAAAUAUGUGCGCGCGGUGCGCCAUUGAAGAAUAGCUCGGGGUCCGUCUCACAUGAGGCGAAGCAAACAGUUUUUCGUAAUCUAGAGGACCUUGUCUUACGUACCUUCGAUCUUGUAUGAUCUGUCCAUAUCAGUGUGCGAGUAGUAGUAAUAUGAUUGUAGUAAGAGCUGUCCAUAUCAAUUGUCGAUCUUAUUCUUAUAUGAUAUGAUGGCUUGCAGCGUUCCUAAGAUCUAACGAGAAUCUCCUGGAGUUAACGACACAAUCGUUCGAUUGUUUCUGAAUCAGACUGCAAUUUUGAAGCUUAAUUGGCAAAGGAGUUAAGAUAUAGACAAUCCUAUUUAUUCGAACUAGCUUUGCUGAAUCGAAAGAAAAGAGACAACUUGGAUUCAAUCAAAAGAAAUUAGAAGAUUUUAGUACUGGCAUGUAUUCACCUCAAUCAAAAGAAACUAGGUCACCACUAUAUGCUCUGUUUGUACUCUACACAUGAGGAAUAUAUUCACCUUUAACUUCUUUUUUUGCGGAAAUAAGACUUUCAUUCAUCAACCACGGUUAUUACACUCCAGAUUUUACAUAGAGCGUGAAUUCCAUCCGGUGCAUGCCCAUGCACGUUGAAUUAUCAAAUGAGUAUAAAGUUGGUCUUUUUUUUAACUACUACACUCCAGAUUCUCGAGCAUGGAGAUAGGCGAGUUGUAGACCAAGAGCUGGUACAGAUAUAGGCGAGUUGUAGACAAGAGCUGGUGGGCAGCAAGAAACGCAUGCACACCAAAGAACAAAUCUGAGUCACAUGCCUACUUCUAUUGGUUUCUACAAAGAGCGGCUAGCUUAGAUCUUAGACCAGUCGGUCACUGUCGAGGUCGCCAAGGUGAUCUUACAGCACCGCCGUGGGGAUUUCUCAUAUGAUUUUAUGUAGGCAAGCCGCAAGCGGUGGUGGUGAUUGGCUGGGUGGUGUCGCUGCCUUGGGAAGAGACGAAGUGAUGGUAAAAGUAAGCAGGAUCCGAUGAUUCUUCCGUGGGGAUAGCCAAAGUCAAGAUGUCGACUACAGACUCGUCGCAGACUUGCAGUGAACCUGGAUGCGGCGAGCCUGAUUUGUGGAUUGAUGGCGGGUCUUGACUUUGUUAGGCUGGGAUUGGAUGGUUGCGGAGGGUGGUGUGCUUGGUUGGGUUCCCAUGAAAGAAUGUGGCCUCCUCGUGGAUCUGGUCAUGCCCAUCCUAGAGAACAUUGUGUCCCUAGCUCCCUCGAGGAGCAAGGACAAUGCAAGCGACAGCAGGGGGGAAAGGUAGAUGUGGGGAGGGAUGUCGGCGGCUGCUCGAGGUCAUCAUGAUGAAACCCUUGACGUCCCAUCUUUAUCAAUGGAAGUGGAAGAGCACGAAGUCGAGAUUGGAUAGGAGUUUGAGUUCUUUUUGGCACCGAUCGAUUCCCCACUUUAGAGAUGUAUUUUUUUUUGCGUGCGAGCAAACAGUGGGUUGAUUCUAAAAGGGAUAGGCACUUUUCAACAGAAGUGCAUGACGGACCAAAAAUAUGACCUCAUUUUAUUCGUUUGAUAGAUAUCGUAUUAUUCGUUGUUGUUUGUUCGGUGAAAUUUCCUAAUAUUUGAUUGUUGUGUUUCUAAUUAGAGCACCCCAUAAUCACCUAAUAUAAGGGGAUGACAAAUGAAAGAUACUGAUUAUAAAUUUUGAAGAGCCCGUGGCAACGCACGGGCGUUAUACUAGUUUUUAUAGUGGACGACCAAAUAUAGUGAAUCUGCGCGGGGCAAAAAAUCAUUCUGGUCCUUUAUAUUGGCAGUUAUUAUAGCGGACAGGCGGAUUUAGCGGACCUGCUAGAGUUGCUCUUACCAUGUCUUCUUGUUCUUUCUUUCUUGCCAUCUGAAGUUGACUGAUUUACCCUUGAUUCAUUGUGACCCGACCUGCCCAAUGGGCCGGCAUGGCCCACCCUUAAAGGGGUCGGGCAUGGCACGACACGCCAGGCCCGUAUAUAAGCGGGCCGUGCCAGGCCGACACGCGUGCCUCGCCACUCCUUCCGGUGAUGUUGUUGAUCCCCUCUCUCUCUCUCCUUGCACUUUAACAGCGAGAGGAACCCGGUCCUCUCCUUUGUCGUCGUACACGGUGGUGCCUUAGUGCCAACGACAUAACCAUGCAGAAUAAGUCCCACCUCGGCCGCGAGACGAGUUUGUUAGGUUUAUCUUCUGUUGUUCCUCUUGGGCGGCGAAUGUAGGGUAAUCGGCGCCUUGGUGGAGUUUGUGAAGAUUGCUUCAGGAGCAUCGUCAAUGGUUGCCGCCCCCGGUGGACAUGCCACACGCACACUGUAUCAACUAAACAACUUGUAGCAAUGUAUAAUCUCACCCUAAUUAGUAGCACUAACAGUCUGCUUCCCAUUACACACACAUCCAUUUCUCUUACUGUACACAUCCAUUCGUACUGAACGGGAAGAGACACCUUGCAAACGUUGGCUCAUCAGUCCGUCGGCGAGUGGACAAGCAAAGAACACUGACUACACACACGCCCAAAAAUAGAUAGCAGUCACGGGCCAAGCAUACUUUCAGAAUCCCUUCCUUCGAGCAGCUCAAAAAUCUACAGAACCAAACAGUCCAGGUUCGGGUUCAGAGCACAAGGGUCAGGAUCUACAUCAGCUGGUUGUCCACAGACGGGGUCGACAAAGAAAUGCAGCUCGACAUGUCUGUCUGCGACCGGAUCAAACUUGGAUGCCCACGCCUGCAUCGAUUUCACAACGCAUGCACAAUGAAAUUAUAUUCAGAUGGGACAUGAUUACACAUUCAUGACACACUCAGGCAUAGUGCUUGUUGUUCAUUAUUCUUGCUGUGCUGCUGUCAGCUAGAGCAAAUGGGUACAGAGUUUCAGAUUUUAGGCUUUUAGCUAAGUAACCAUCAUCAUUAUUCUGUGAGCCUAGCCUAGCUUGAGCUUCUGGUUUUGCAAUGCAGUUUGUAAAGAUAACCAAGAUGAGAGAUCCCAUCUUCCAGAGCCAUUAUUUACAAAACUGAAGGUAUGACUGAGUAAUUCAGUUUCAGAGGAAUUAUUUUUAGAGCCCCAAGAAAGUUAUCACAGCAGGUUCUAGGGUAUGGAACUAUAGAUGAUCCAGUAAUUUACUGUGAUCCUGUUAGUCUCUUAGUAUUGUCUGAUCCUCGAUAAAAAGAAAGUUCCCCUUCAAAAUCCAUCCAAACAGAAUUUACCAACACCCAAAUCCAUAAAAAAAGUAUGUACCAUGUAUUAAAAAAUUGUUCAUCUUGUAUUGAAAAAUAUUCACAUGUUCUAGAAAAAUGUUCAUAAUAUAAUUUCCAAAUGUUUAUCGUCUACAUGAAAAAUGUUCUCUAUGUGUUUAAAAAACAUGCUCACUAUGAAUCUCACAACAUGUAAUUGAAAUGUGUUCAAUGUGUAUCUAAAAGUUGUUCAAUAUGCUUUAAAAAAAUUCAAUAUGUAUUAACAAAAUUUCAACAUGUAUUUUAAAAUGGUAAAUGAAAAAGGAAACCAGGAGAAGAAAAAUCAAAAUUGAAAAAUGAAAAUAGAAAAUUUUAAAAUAAAGAUAAACAUAACAACCGAAAGAAAAUAAAACGAUAACACAUAAAUGUGAAAAGAAGAAAAACCGACUGGAACCUUCCAAAAACCGGACGGAAGGUUCCCAAAACCCACCACUCGUUACACCGGCCGAAAUAGAUAUGCGAGUAGUCUAUUAGUCUUGCAAUAAGCUAGAUAUAGCUCUUACGAUGCUAUGCCAUGCAAAAGCUAUUUAUCGCUUACUGUCACGACACGUUAGCGCUCGCCUCAAGGCCGACGGGACAAGGGCCGACACAGAAGUAGAUGAACAGAACCGGUUUCUACGGAUUUUUUUCAGGUUUUGUGUAUGGUUUCUCUAAUCUGGUUUUUGGUCUGAUUUUUAUUCUUCUUUUUUUUCUGUUUUCUAAUUUUAUUUAUGUUCUUCAUUUUCUAUUUCUCACUAUAAUUUUUCUUCAUGUUCUUUUCGUGUUUUUGUUUCUUUUAGUUUUCUAAUUUGAUUACAUAUAUUUUUAAAUAAAGAUGUUUUUGUAAAAUGAGAUGAAACUUUUUAAUGUUUUUUCUUUGCCUUUUCAUACCUAUUUUUUAUUUUUUAUUUUUUCCCUCCUUUUAUCAUUAUUUUUUAAAAAUAUGCAUAGUGCUUUUCAGAAACAGAAUUAUCACGCAUUUUUAAAAAAUGAUCAAUGAAUAUUUUGAAAAAUGCCAUCAUGUAUUUAAAAAUUGUUCAUCAUGUAUUUGAAAACAUUCUAAGUGUAUUUAAAAAUAUUUUUCAUUUUGUAUAAAAAAUUUCAUCAUGCAUUUUAAAAUAUUCAGCCUAUAUUAAAAAAAUGGUUCAAGGUGUAUUUAAAAAUCUUCAUCGCAUUUAUUAAAAAAUGAUCAUCAUUUAUUUAAAAAAAUUAUUGGCAUGGUUUUAAAAUAUGUUUAUCAUGAAUUAAAAAAAUGUACAUCAUGCAUUUAAAAAUAUUUCCACCAUGUAUAAGGAAUUUUUCAGUUUUUGAAAAGGUUCUUUGUGAAUUUAAUUAAUGUCAUCGCUCAUUUAAAUAAAUCUUCAGGUUGUAAUUAAAAACUGAUCAUCAUGUUUAAAAAUACGCAUUGUGUAUUUAAAAAUAUUUUUCAUCAUGUACAAAAAAAUCAUCAUAUUUUUAGAAAAGGUUUAGUGUACAUUUGAAAAAUGUUCAUCAUGUAUUUAAAAGUUGUCAUUUAUUACUUAAGAAUAUAUCCAUCGAGUUUAAACAUAUUAUUCAUCAUUUAUUUGAAAAAUGUUCAGUGGAUAUUUUAAAAAAUGUUCAUCGUGUUUCAAAAAAAUUCCUGUUGAUUUGCGAAAAGUUCAUCGUUUUUUUUUAAAUGUGAACGUCGGCUAAAAAAGUUGACCCUGACAAGAACUUCCGUCCAUGGCCAUCGCCUCCAUGGAGGUGUUCUAUUCCUGAAGCUAACCGAGGUCGGUAGGGGGGAAUUUUCAAAUUGAUCUGCCUACAAUGAACACACUUUACGUUAUGUUAGGUGCUUAUCCCUUUACCCCUAUCCCUAUAAUAAAGGGGGUGUUCACACUAAAAAACUCUUCAUCAUGACUUGAUGCCUACGUCGACUACAAUCGUACAGGUAAUAUGUUAACCAAUUUACCAACGUUUCAUCUGGAAUUCCAGAUGAAUGGGCUCCCCCCUUGAUAAAUUGCAACAUUUUGCCAAGCAACUAUACUUUGCAUGUACAUGCUGAAUAGCUGAUAAUAGUAACUAACAUGCGGUAGUUAUAUCAUUAUGCAUAGGAGCUCAGUACUCGUGGUUAGAGAAGGAUCUGCAGAAAGCUGAACUGACGAGUCAUGUCGCUUCUUGGCACUCGCCCUGGUAUAACUGUUCCUCACACUACCAGGAAUUUGAGUGCAUGAGGCAAGAAAUAGAAGGACUCCUCUACCAAUAUAUGGGGUCGACAUUGUCUUCUCAGGACAUUGUUUGGUAAAUGGUUUGAUUCAGACUAAAUUCCUUCGAUUUCUUUGGUUUCUUUUCCUCCAUCUCGAUUAAUCAAUCCUACUCCCCUCAGCUCCUGCUGUUAAUACCUUUUUCUUUUCUUUUGGAACAAGUCUAGUUUAUUUGAUUGCUCAAGGUACACGCAUACAAAAGGAUGAACCGGGUGUGCAAGCACACGAUCCGUGCGGGCCGGUUUACAUUACGAUCAGGGAUGUCGGUAACACUGAGAAAAUCGACAGUGAUCAGGCAGAUGACCUUGGAAAAUGCCCCUCGCCAGGUGACAACCACCCUGAAUUUGGUGGAGUCUGCCAUCUGAACUUCACGACUUACCGGAUUCUGGUCCUGGUCCUGCCAUGGGGAGAUUUUGCUGGGAACGACAGCCGGAAUGGAGGGCAUUCAGGGGAAGCAGUUUCGGGCAUGGCAUUUUAGAUGCAAUUAAAUCACUUCACCUUCUCCUCCUCCUCGCCCGAUGUGUGUGACCUGGAAGGGAAUGUGUUACGUGUAUGUUUUUCACACAAGAGAUCAUACAGGUUGUGAAUUCGACAUGUGCCUUGUGGACAUGGCACCAGAACCGGGAUACAUAUGGAGAACACAAUGUGGGAGAUCAGAUCAAUAUAGUAAGUGCCUAUUGCAGCCAAAGGGUGUGAUUUCACAGGACUGGUGAUUCUGAAGUCUAUCUUCUUUAACUUUGUGUUUAUCACCCAUGUAGAUUCUCAAUGCCUCGGCGGGAUCCCCUCUCCAUUAAGUAACAUCUCAGGUGCUCAACAAGCUGCUAAAAUGGCUGUGCUCCUUUGGACAGCAUCAUUGAGAGCGUCUUUUUUGGCGGGUACCACAGAGAAUUUUGUGUAAAAAAAAGGAGUUGUACACGACUAAAAAAAGAUAAUUCCGACUUACCGGAUUCGAACCAGUGACCUAAGGAUUUACCUGCACACACUACAGUCCUCCGCUCUACCAACUGAGCUAAAGUCGGAUUGUUAUUCUGAGAUGGCCAAAGUCUAGAGAACAUUGCCUCUGGGACUUGCGUCAUUUAGUGAGAUCUGAAAUGCAUCUCCACAAGUAAAACCAGCAAUGCUGGUAUAAUACUUGCAGUAAAACAAACAUCUGAACCAAAUACAUACACAGGCAACUUAACGUUAAAAAAAUAAUUGAACAUAUAUCACGCCCAACACCACCAUUAUAUAGCUUUCAACUCAAAUGAUAAAACUUAUAGAAAGAAUUCCUUAUUUAACACUUUUAAAUUUGCUUUCCCUAUUUGACCCCUUUAUAUCGUAGUUUCUUAUGCAGAGUUGUUUGCAUUGAUGUCUUUGUUGUAGUAUUUCUUAUUCUCUGAUUGGUUCUUCAUCCGUGGCUUAUCGUUGCCCACUAAGAGCACAUACAAAAUCAUCCUCCACAAAGAAGAUGAAACCCCAUUGAUAGGCUAGUCUGGGGCAGCAGAGUCCCUAACAAAGUUACAUUGCUCCCAAUAAUAUUUGCAUGCCUUGUGAUCACCAUGUGGAAGACCGUGACCACAUCUUCCUCCAUUGUCUACUCUCCGCAGGUAUUUGGAAAUUAAUAGACAUUCUCCAGGGAUAUCUAUCUCGACACUCUCUAGGACUUAUCGCAGUCCCUCAUCUAUAUGACCUAGUAUACCAUUUGAUUCUAUUCAUUUUCUUUGGAAAUUUUGGGAUGCUAGCAACGCGAAGGUUUUCGCAAUGAACACCAGCGCCACUCCCUCACUCUCAAGAUGAUUAUUUAUAAUCUCAUCAUAUGGUCACUUGUCUUUCAAAAACCGAGCAACAAGGUGGUUGCCUCCACAUGUGCCAAUACCCCAGAAGUGCAAAUCCUAGCUUUUAAGUCGGACCACAGAGAUGAUUCAUGAAGGAAAAAUAGUACUCCCUCCAUUUUUAUUUACUCUGCAUAUUAGGUAUGAUUGAAGUCAAACUUCAUAAAGUUUGACUAAGUUUAUAGAAAAAAUAUGAACAUAUACAAUAGCAAAUCUGUAUGAUGUGAAGUGUAUUCAAUAAUGAAGCUAAUGGUAUUGAUUUGUUAUUGUAUAUGUUAAUAUCUUUGUCUAUAAACUUUGACUUUGACUAAAGCUAAUAUGUGGAGUAAAUAAAAACGGAGGGAGUAUAUAAGUAAUGUCCACCUGCGACAAGUUUAGGGAACUAUAUUGAAAUAACCUGAUCCAACAAUAAAUUAUUGUAGUCGGUUGAAAAAUCAAAACCGCCUCAGAGAAUUCAUUGAGCCGGUCAAAAUUUCAAACUGACUAGGAUAAGUUUUCUAUAGUCGGUUGCUUUGUGGCAACCGACCAUAGUCAUUCUUGUUGGGGAACAUAGUGAUAAUUCAAAUAAUUUCCUACGUGUCACCAAGAUCAAUCUAGGAGAUCGUAGCAACGAGAGAGAGGGAGUGCAUCUUCAUACCCUUGAAGAUCGCUAAGCGGAAGCGUUACAAGAACGCGGUUGAUGGAGUCGUACUCGCGGCGAUUCAAAUCGGGGAAGAUCCAAUCCAAGCGCCGAACGGAUGACGCCUCCGCAUUCAACAGACGUAUAGCCCGGGGACGUCUCCUCCUUCUUGAUCCAGCAGGGGGAGAGGAGAAGUUGAUGGAGAACUCCGGCAGCACGACGACGUGGUGGUGGAGCUCGUGGUUCUCCGGCAGAGCUUCGCUAAGCACUACGGAGGAGGAGGAGUUGGAGGGGGGAGGGCUGCGCCAGGGGAAGGGUGCGGCUGCCCUCCCACCCCCUCACUAUAUAUAGGGGGAAGGGGAGAGGGGCCCGGUCCCCUUAGAUGCAUCUAGAGGGGGAGGGACGACCAAGGGGGGAGACUUGCCCCCAAGCAGGUGGGAGGCGCCCGCACCCCCUAGGGUUUCCAACCCUAGGCGCCUUGGGCCCUUGGGAGGGGGGCACCAGCCCACUAAGGGGCUGGUCCCCACCCAUAUUCAGCCCACUAAGCCCUAUGGGGCAGGUGGCCCUACCCGGUGGACCCCCGGACACCUUUCGAUGGUCCCGGUACAAUACCGAUAACCCCCGAAACUUUGUGGCGACUGAAACUGGACUUUCCGUAUAUAAAUCUUCACCUUCGGACCAUUCCGGAACUCCUCAUGACGUCCAGGAUCUCAUCUGGGACUCCGAACAACUUUAGGUAACCACAUACAAUUUCCCAUUACAACUCUAGCGUCACCGAACCUUAAGUGUGUAGACCCUACGGGUUCGGGAACCAUGCAGACAUGACCGAGACACCUCUCCGGCCAAUAACCAACAGCGGGAUCUGGAUACCCAUAUUGGCUACCACAUGUUCCACGAUGAUCUCAUCGGAUGAACCACGAUGUCGGGGAUUCCAUCAAUCCCGUAUACAAUUCCCUUUGUCCAUCGGUAUGUUACUUGCCCAAGAUUCGAUCGUCGCUAUCCCCAUACCUCGUUCAAUCUCGUUACCGGCAAGUCUCUUUACUCGUUCCGUAACACAUGAUCCCGUGGCUAACUCCUUUAGUUACAUUGAGCUCAUUAUGAUGAUGCAUUACCGAGUGGGCCCAGAGAUACCUCUCCGUCAUACAGAGUGACAAAUCCCAGUCUCGAUUCAUGCCAACCCAACAGACACUUUCAGAGAUACCUAUAGUGCACCUUUAUAGUAACCCAGUUAUGUUGUGACGUUUGAUACACCCAAAGCAUUCCUACGGUAUCCGGGAGUUGCACAAUCUCAUGGUCUAAGGAAAUCAUACUUGACAUUAGAGAAGCUCUAGCAAACGAACUACACGAUCUUGUGCUAUUCUUAGGAUUGGGUCUUGUCCAUCACAUCAUUCUCCUAAUGAUGUGAUCCCGUUAUCAACGACAUCCAAUGUCCAUGGUCAGGAAACCGCAACCAUCUAUUGAUCAACGAGCUAGUCAACUAGAGGCUCACUAGGGACAUGUUGUGAUCUAUGUAUUCACACAUGUAUUACGGUUUCCAGUUAAUACAAUUAUAGCAUGAACAAUAGACAAUUGUCAUGAACAAGGAAAUAUAAUAAUAACCAUUUUAUUAUUGCCUCUAGGGCAUAUUUCCAACAAUUCUUAAGCAGUUCUGACAUUCCAACCAGCUGUAAUAAUACCACACCCAAAAGUCCCACCAAGUCCAUCCAUAUAAGUAUACUCUUUGAGCUCUAACCCACUCCUUCUACCCUCCUCUUUCUGUCGCUAUCGUGGUGGCAACACCCUCUUCCCACCGCCCACCACACAUCCGACCGUGCUCACCACCUGUUACUCGAUUUGACAAGUCUAGUUGUCCCUACGUGGAUUUGGUUGCACUGGCCAUCUCCAUGUGUGGCUCUGACAUGGUUGAAGGUUGUUAGGAUCGAAUAUUUAAGGAUUGGAAGCAGGGUGAAUAGUCAUAUACAAAUAAAACCACACUUAUUUUAAAAGUUGGUUGUUUUAAGCAACAAGCUUCUAUGUUGGUCCUGGAGCACUUUAACAACAAAGCUAGAAAGAGCAUUGUGGAAGAAUAAGGUAACUUGCCAGAAAGUAAGAGUUAAGUUUACGGAAUGCAAACGCAAAUGGCUUGGCUUGUUUUCCCCAUGGUUUGAAUAGUUGGCGCUAUCCUACUCGACAUUGAUGGAGGCUAGCUUUGAACCAAAUGAUUCUAGGAUCACAAGGAUCUUAGCUAUGUUGCCCACCAAAGAGGCCUACCAAGGACAAGAUACCUAUUGUACCGUGGAGUGCAUCAAGAAGCCACACGAAGGGGUACAUCCUCAUGAAGUAGGAAAUCAUUGAGACCUCACAAACUCUUGAGUACUUCACAAUAUAGAUGAAACAUGUGUUGGGGAACGCAGUAAUUUCAAAAAAAAUUCCUACACACACGCAAGAUCCAUCUAGGUAAUGCAUAGCAACGAGCGGGGAAGAGUGUUGUCUAUGUACCCUCGUAGACCAUAAGCGGAAGCGUUAUGACAACACAGUUGAUGUAGUCGUACAUAUUCACGAUCCGACCGAUGCUAGCACCGAAGGUACGACACCUCCGGGAUCUGCACACGUUCAGCUCGGUGACAUCCCGCGAAGUCUAGAUCUAGCUGAGUGUCAAGGGAGAGUUUUGUUAGCACGCCGGCGUGAUGACGGUGAUGAUGAAGCUACCGGAACAGGGCUUCGCCUAAGCACUGCAACAAUAUGACCGAGGUGGAUUAUGAUGGAGGGGGGCACCUGAUACGUCUCCAACGUAUCUAUAAUUUUUGAUUGCUCCAUGCUAUAGUAUCUACUGUUUUGGACAUUAUUGGGCUUUAUUAUCCACUUUUAUAUUAUUUUUGGGACUAACCUAUUAACCGGAGGCCCAACCCAGAAUUGCUGUAUUUUGCCUGUUUUAGGUUUCGAAGAAAAGGAAUAUCAAACGGAGUCCAAACGGAAUAAAACCUUCGGGAGCGUGAUUUUCUCAAUGAAUACAACUCAGGAGACUUGGACCCUACGCCAAGCCAAUUAACAGGAGGCCACGAGGUAGGGGGGCGCGCCUGCCCCCCCAAGCACGCCCUCCACCCUCGUGGGCCCCCUGUUGCUCCACCGACGUACUUCUUCCUCCUAUAUAUAUAUAUAUAUAUCCACGUACCCCCAAACGAUCAGAACAGGAGCCAAAACCCUAAUUCCAUCGCCGUAACUUUCUGUAUCCACGAGAUCCCAUCUUGGGGCCUGUUCCGGAGCUCCACCGGAGGGGGCAUCAAUCACGGAGGGCUUCUACAUCAACACCAUAGCCUCUCCGAUGAAGUGUGAGUAGUUUACUUCAGACCUACGGGUCCAUAGUUAGUAGCUAGAUGGCUUCUUCUCUCUUUUUGGAUCUCAAUACAAUGUUCUCCCCCCUCUCUUGUGGAGAUCUAUUCGAUGUAAUCUUAUUUUUGUGGUGUGUUUGUUGAGACCGAUGAAUUGUGGGUUUAUGAUCAAGUCUAUCUAUGAAUAAUAUUUGAAUCUUCUCUGAAUUCUUUUAUGUAUGAUUGGUUAUCUUUGCAAGUCUCUUCGAAUUAUCAGUUUGGUUUGGCCUACUAGAUUGAUCUUUCUUGCAAUGGGAGAAGUGCUUAGCUCUGGGUUCAAUCUUGCGGCGUCCUUUCCUGGUGACAAGGGCAGCAAGGCACUUAUUGUAUUGUUGUCAUCGAGGAUAACACGAUGGGGUUUUCUUCAUAUUGCAUGAGUCUAUCCCUCUACAUCAUGUCAUCUUGCUUAAGGCGUUACUCUGUUUUUAACUUAAUACUCUAGAUGCAUGUUGGAUAGCGGUCGAUGAGUGGAGUAAUAGUAGUAGAUGCAGGCAGGAGUCGGUCUACUUGUCUCGGACGUGAUGCCUAUAUACAUGAUAAUACCUAGAUAUUCUCAUAACUAUGCUCAAUUCUGUCAAUUGCUCAACAGUAAUUUGUUCACCCACUGUAGAAUACUUAUGCUCUCGAGAGAAGCCACUAGUGAAACCUAUGGCCCCCGGGUUUAUCUUUAUCAUAUCAAUCUCCUACUACUUAGUUAUUUACUUUGCUAUUUACUUUGCCUUUAUUUUACUUUGCAUCUUUAUCAUAAAAAUACCAAAAAUAUUAUCUUUAUCAUAUCUAUCAGAUCUCACUCUCGUAAGUGGCCCUAUAGGGAUUGACAACCCCUGUUUGUGUUGGUUGCGAGGAUUCAUUUGUUUUGUGCAGGUACGAGGGACUCGCGCGUAGCCUCCUACUGGAUUGAUACAUUGGUUCUCAAAAACUGAGGGAAAUACUUAUGCUACUUUGCUGCAUCAUCCCUUCCUCUUCGAGGAAAACCAACGCAGUGCUAAAAGAGGUAGCAAGAAGGAUUUCUGGCGCCGUUGCCGGGAAGGUCUACGCAAAAGUCAACAUACCAAGUACCCAUCACAUACCCUUAUCUCCCGCAUUACAUUAUUUGCCAUUUGCCUCUCGUUUUCCUCUCCCCCACUUCACCCUUGCCAUUUUAUUUGCCCUCUCUCUCUCUCUAUCCUCCCUCUCUUUCUCUAUUUGCCCCUUUUUGUCCGCUUGCUUUUUGUUUGCUUGUAUGUUAGUUUGCUUGUUUGUCGUGAUGGCUCUACCUAAAUUUGGUGACCUUCACCUUAAAAGGUUAGAAGAAAUCGAAAAUAAUGUUAGGAGUUUCAUGGUUUUGCAAUUUGAACAUAAUAGUUUCUUCAGAAACAAGCUUAAAGAACAGAAAAGUUUUAUGAGUUUUAUGAAUAAAGAGCUUCAUGAUAUGUCUAAAGAAUUCGAUGGUUUAAGAUCCCAACUUGCUCAUCUUGAGAAAUUAACUGCUGAAAUUUCGGAUAAGCAGGCUACCCUAGUUAAUAAGAUGGCCGCUAAACCGAGUUGCUAUGAAAAUAAUGAUGAAGAUCUAAAAGUUAUUGAUGUGUCCCCUAUUAAAUCUUUGUUUUGCAAUAUGAAUCUUGAUAAUGAUGGGACUGAAUAUAACCCACCUUUACCUAGAAGGCUUUCCAAGAAUUCUGAAUCUCUUGAUCUUGAUGCUAAAUUUGAUAAAAGUGGGAUUGAAGAAAUUAAAACCCUAGAUGUUGCUAAACCCACUAUUAUGGAUUUCAAGGAAUUUAACUAUGAAAAUUGCUCUUUGAUUGAUUGUAUUUCCUUGUUGCAAUCUGUGCUAAAUUCUCCUCACGCUUAUAGUCAAAAUAAAGCGUUUACUAAACAUAUCGUUGAUGCAUUGAUGCAAUCUUAUGAAGAAAAACUUGAAUUGGAAGUUUCUAUCCCUAGAAAACUUUACGAUGAGUGGGAACCAACUAUUAAAAUUAAAAUUAAAGAUCAUGAAUGCUAUGCUUUAUGUGAUUUGGAUGCUAGUGUUUCCAUGAUUCCAAAGGCUUUGUGUGAUUUGUUAGGUUUACGUGAUUUUGAUGAUUGCUCUCUAAACUUGCACCUUGCGGAUUCCACUAUUAAGAAACCUAUGGGAAGAAUUAAUGAUGUUCUUAUUGUUGCAAAUAGGAAUUAUGUGCCCGUAGAUUUUAUUGUUCUUGACAUAGAUUGCAAUCCUUCAUGUCCUAUUAUUCUUGGUAGACCUUUCCUUAGAAUGAUUGGUGCAAUUAUUGAUAUGAAGGAAGGAAAUAUUAGAUUUCAAUUUCCAUUAAGGAAAGGCAUGGGACACUUUCCUAGAAAGAAAAUUAAAUUACCUUAUGAAUCUAUUAUGAGAGCCACUUAUGGAUUGCCUACCAAAGAUGGCAAUACCUAGAUCUAUUCUUGCUUGUUAUGCCUAGCUAGGGCGUUAAACGAUAGCGCUUGUUGGGAGGCAACCCAAUUUUAUUUUUAUUCCUUGCUUUUUGCUCCUGUUUAGUAAUAAAUAAAUGAUUUAGCCUCUGUUUUGGUUGUGUUUUUUGUGUUUAAUUAGUGUUUGUGUCAAGUAGAACCGUUGGGAAGACUUGGGGAAAGUCUUGUUGAACUUGCUGUAAAAAAACAGAAACUUUAGCGCUCACGUGAACUGCUGUCAUUUUUAUUUGGAAAGUUAUAUUUAGUUAUUUCUUUUUGCAGAUGAUUAAUAGAUAAAUUACUCACGUCCAGCAAUUUAUUUUAGAAUUUUUGGGGUUUUAUAUAUUGCUCUAGCUACAGAUUACUACAGACUGUUCUGUUUUUGACAGAUUCUGUUUUUCGUGUGUUGUUUGCUUGUAAUAGCACCCGAGGUACCCUAACUUGCAUAGAAUGUGAUGAUUUAGUCCCAAACUUGCAAAAUUUGUCUCCACCAUACCCCAGCUUGCACUAGAUGUGGUGAUUUAGUCCCCGGCCUAUCACAGCUCAACAAGUGGCAGCCAGGUGGCCUGACCGGUCUUCGUCCACACUUUUGCAGGAAACACCCUGCGGUCUUCUCUAAUUAACCUACAGUACUGGAUGUUAAGAUGCAGUUAACAACAUAUCUCCCGGUGGCUGGUGCUGGGCCACCGGACCUGCCCGACCACGAUGCAGGAGCUUUGGGACGACCCGCUCACCCCCAACGCCACGCUCCGGCAGCUCAUCGCCACCUGGCUCUCCCGCCGGUACACCCUUCAAAAAGCACAAGGGCCAGGCAUCCGCUCAAGGGCCAGGCCCGUGUCGCCGCGCUCCGGGAGUUGCGCUCCCUCGCCUCCACCCACCAGUCUAUGACCAAGGCCAUAGCCAAGGCCGGCGGCGUGUUGUUGCUGACCUUGCUUCUUGGCCCCUUCACGUCUCAUUCGAUGGGAUCCGAGGCGGUGGCCAUUCUUGUGAGCGGCGUGCCGCUCGACGCCGAGGCAAAGGCGGCGCUGAUGCAGCCGGCAAAGGUGUCCCUCGUGGUGAACAUGCUGAAUGAGGGCACCGUCGACACCAAGAUCAACUGCGUCCACCUCAUCUGCAUCGUCAUGGAGGAGAAAGGCUGCCGGCCGGAGACGGUGGCGAGCCUGAGCUUCUUUAUCCAUCUACACCUGCACCUACCUAGUCAUCUCCGCCUUGCUCUAUCCAUCCAGAAUCCCCGUCGGCGACGGAGAUGCAGGCCGCCGUCGCCUUCAGCCAGAGCCAGCCGUCCCUUCUCGCUCGUCCGCUCCGGCGGCUCCCAAGGCCUUACCACGGGUACGUACGUAUCUGCGACGAUUCCUCUCGCCUCAAUUCCAUCUUUGCCUUUUUGAGCUAACCUGCAUCUGCAUGUGGUUGCGCAGCGGCGGGCCGGAGCUGGAGCGGGAUGAUGGUGUGCUGUUGUGUCAGGACUGAUCCAGGGAGGUGUCAUCAAGCUUCAGUUAUCCAACGGCUAGGAGGCCUCCUCGCUUUACCGCUUCAUCAGGAGCCGUUGAUUCUUAAUUGUACCAUUAUACAGUAAUCACUGUACCAUUUCACUUGUCGGUAACUAGCUACCUAUAAAUCCAGCCGGGUUGUGGCUGGCAAAACUAUCUCUCCAUUCUUCUAGACUCGCCAAGAUGGCUUGCGUUAUACUCCAACUCUAAAACAAUAGCAAAUAUCUCAGAUCUGAGACUUUCCCUAUACAAAUUCUCCUGAUUUCCUUGCUAAAAUUCGCAUAGGUGUAGUUCGGUCCUGACAUGCUGGUAGGUCUAGGUCUAGGACGACGACGCGUCUCGCUCCCGCGGCUGCGGCGCGCCUGUUGCUCCGCGAGCCUAUCCGUCGGUGCCGACGGCUACGGCAGCGAUAACAACACCCACCCACCCCCCUGCUCCACCUCAUGUUUGUGUCACCCCUGGCCUUGUGAUACCUUGCUUACUUUGCAAGCUAGACUAGGCUAGAGUGGGUACCUUUGCAGAUUUACUCCCUUCAGGCAAGGCUAAAAUUUUCAGAUCAGAUUAUAAAAGUUUUGGCAGUGCAAGGUAAGGGGAAUCAAUUACCACGCCAAGGGUAAAAGGAGCACCUAUAUAUGCGUCAGUUAACUGAAAUCAAAUUCAGUUACUAGGCCUAGCGCCGUCACCCCUGGCCAUCGCUGUUAAAUACCAAUGCGACAAUAAUAUUGUUUGGCGGUGCGAUAUUGUGAUGAGUCAGAGGAAUCACUUCUUAUCACUGUUUCAGUUCAUUCGCCUUCAUUGUAUCUGAACGGUUCUCAUUUUCAAGUGAAUUUGUUUCACUCCGAAGACCCAUUUCAUAUUCUUUUCUCCCAGUUACAUUGUCCUAUGCACAGUUACCCAUUGCUGUCUCGGGUCACAGUCUCAACUUUUCAGAGUUAUAUUUCUGCAGAACCUUCUAAACACGCGUCUCGAUCCCCUCUGCCCUCCGUGCUCAGCUGGUGUGUGUCUCUAUCCAUCUUUCCUUCAUGUUGUUUCCAUUUAUCAGUUCCUUUGUUUAUGAUCUACCGUGUUAUAACUUUGACCCUAUCCAUUAUGUUACUUAGUGUGCAGUUCUCUCUGAAACCAUGCUUUUUAUAUGCAACUCCUUGAUUUUGAAGACGACGCUUGUCGAAAUCCCUUUCGGAUUAGGUGGCAUUGACAUCAUGAUCCCUGACAUGAACUGAGAGGACAUAUUUGAUUACAGUUUGCUAUGCCGUACAAGUAAGAUCGCCAAGUAAUGCUGCGCUGGUGGCUGGUGCUUGGGAUUACUUUAGAAUUGUUGAGGGGUUUGCCAGUCGGAUGAUUUGACUGCGCCAACAUUAUAUCCUAAAGAUGUUCUAUAAUGAGUAUAUUUUACCCCUUGCAUAAAUCACUUUCUCAUUGUAGAUUGCCUGUAGGUAAUUAAUUGAUAUUGCAGGAAAAUAUGGAAGCUGGAAAGAAUUGAUGAGUAAGAAGUUAGCAAGGAACUAGGAAGGAACAAGUCCCAUUGGUAGGCCCGAAAGCACACUUUCAGCUUUGUCACUUAGCAGGAAGGCAAAGCACAUACACGCAGGAUCUCCUUAAUUAGAGAAGACCGCAGGGUGUUUCCUGCAAAAGUGCGGACGAAGACCAGUCAAGCCACCUGGCUACCAAUUGGCGAGCUGUGAUUGGCCUGGGACUAAAUCAUCACAUGAGGUGCAAGUUGGGGUAUGGUGGAGUCAAGUUUUGCAAGUUUGGGACCAAAUCGUCACAUUCUGUGCAAGUUAGGGUACCUGGGGUGCUAUUACCUCUAUUUUGAUGAAUCUAUGGCUAGUAAAAUAGUUUAUGAACCAUAGAGAAGUUGGAAUACAUUAGAUAUAACACCCAUAUAAAUAAAGAAUGAGUUCAUUACAGUACCUUGAAGUGGUCUUCUAUUUUCUUUCGCUAACGGAGCUCACGAGAUUUUCUACUUUAAGUUUGGUGUUGUGAAGUUUUCAAGUUUUGGGUAAAGGUUUGAUGGAUUAUGGAACAAGGAGUGGCAAGAUCCUAAGCUUGGGGAUGCCUAUGGCAUCCCCAAGAUAAUCUAAGGACACCUAAAAGCCAAAGCUUGGAGAUGCCCCGGAAGGCAUCCCCUCUUUCGUCUACUUCUAUCGGAAGACAAAUCCUAAUCUUGAUCUAUGCCAACUCAAUAAACACCAUCGGAGACACCUGUAGAGCAUCUUUAUAGUCACCCAGUUAUGUUGUGAUGUUUGAUAGCACACUAAGUGUUCCUCCGGUAUUCGGGAGUUGCAUAAUCUCAUAGUCAUAGGAACAUGUAUAAGUCAUGAAGAAAGCAAUAACAAUAAACUAAACGAUCAUAGUGGUAAGUUAACGGAUGGGUCAAGUCAAUAUUAUCAUUCUCUAAUGAUGUGAUCCCGUUAAUCAAAUGACAACUCAUGUCUAUGGUUAGGAAACAUAACCAUCUUUUAUUAACGAGCUAGUCAAGUAGAGGCAUACUAGUGACACUUUGUUUGUCUAUGUAUUCACACAUGUACUAAGUUUACGGUUAAUACAAUUCUAGAAUGAAUAAUAAACAUUUAUCAUGAUAUAAGGAAAUAUAAAUAACACUACUAUCAGCGUCUGUCUUCCUCUUGAAAAUCCAUUUAUUCUUAAUGGCUCACCGAUCAUCGGGCAAGUCAAUCAAAGUCCAUACUUUGUUCUAAUACAUGGAUCCCAUGUCAGAUUUCAUGGCUUCAAGACAUUUCAUGGAAUCUGGGCUCAUCAUCGCUUCGUCAUAGUUCGUAGGUUUGUCAUGGUCAAGUAACAUGACCUCCAGAAUAGGAUUACUGUACCACUCUGGUGCGGAACGUAUUCUGGUUGACCUACGAGGUUGGGUAGUAACUUGAUCUGAAGUUUCAUGAUCAUCAUCAUUAACUUCCUCACUAAUUGGCGUAGGAAUCACUAGAACUGAUUUCUGUGAUGAACUACUUUCCAAUUUGGGAGAAGGUACAAUUACCUCAUCAAGUUCUACAUUCCUCCCACUCACUUCUUUCGAGAGAAACUUCUUCUCUAGAAAGGGUCCAUUCUUAGCAACAAAUAUCUUGCCUUCGGAUCUGUGAUAGAAGGUGUACCCAACAGUUUCCUUUGGGUUUCCUAUGAAGACACAUUUCUCCGAUUUGGGUUUGAGCUUACCAGGUUGAAACUUUUUCACAUAAGCAUCAUAACCCCAAACUUUAAGAAACGACAGCUUAGGUUUCUUGCUAAACCACAGUUCAUAUGGUGUCGUCUCAACGGAUUUAGAUGGUGCCCUAUUUAACGUGAAUGCAGUUGUCUCUAAUGCAUAACCCCAAAACGAUAGUGAUAAAUCGGUAAGAGACAUCAUAGAUCACACCAUAUCUAAUAAAGUACGGUUAUGACGUUCGGACACACCAUUACGCUGUGGUGUUCCAAGCGGCGUGAGUUGCGAAACUAUUCCGCAUUGUUUCAAAUGAAGACCAAACUCGUAACUCAGAUAUUCUCCUCCACGAUCAGAUCGCAGAAAUUUUAUUUUCUUGUUACAAUGAUUUUUCACUUCACUCUAAAAUUCUUUGAACUUUUCAAAUGUUCCAGACUUAUGUUUCAUGAAGUAGAUAUACCCAUAUAUGCUCAAAUCAUCUGUGAAGGUCAGAAAAUAACGAUACCCGCCGCAAGCCUCAACACUCAUCGGAUUGCAUACAUCAGUAUGUAUUAUUUCCAAUAAGUCAAUUGCUUGUUCCAUUGUUCCGGAUAACAGAGUUUUAGUCAUCUUGCCCACGAGGCAUGGUUCGCAAGCAUCAAAUAAUUCAUAAUCAAGUGAUUCCAAAAGCCUAUUAGCAUGUAGUUUCUUCAUGCGCUUUACACCAAUAUGACCUAAACGGCAGUGCCACAUAUAUGUUGCACUAUCAUUAUUAACUUUGCAUCUUUUGGCUUCAAUAUUAUGAAUAUGUGUAUCACUACGAUUGAGAUUCAAUAAACCAUUCACCUCGGGUGUAUGACCACAGAAGGUUUUAUUCAUGUAAACAGAAUAACAAUUAUUCUUUGACUUAAAUGAAUAACCAUAUUGCAAUAAACAUGAUCCAAUCAUAUUAUGCUCAACGUAAACACCAAAUAACAUUUAUUUUAGGUUCAACGCUAAUCCCGAAGGUAAAGGGAGUGUGUGAUGGUGAUCUUAUCAACCUUGGAAUCACUUCCAACACAUAUCGUCACCUCGCCCUCAACUAGUCGUUGUUCAUUUUGUAACUCCUGUUUCAAGUUACUAAUCAUAGCAACUGAACCAGUAUCAAAUACCCAGGGGCUACUAUGAACACUAGUAAAGUACACAUCAAUAACAUGUAUAUCAUAUAUACUUUUGUUCACUUUGACAUCCUUCUUAUCCGCCAAGUAUUUGGGGCAGUUCCGCUUCGAGUGACCAUUUCCUUUGCAGUAAAAGCACCCAGUUUCAGGCUUGGGUCUAGCUUUGGGAUUCUUCAUGGGAGUGGCAACUUGCUUGUCAUUCUUCUUGAAGUUCCAUUUCUUUCCCUUGCCAUUUUACUUGAAACUAGUGGUCUUUUCAACCAUCAACACUUGAUGCUUUUGUUGAUUUCUACCUUCAUCGAUUUCUGCAUCGUGAAGAGCUUGGGAAUUACUUUCGUCAUCCCUUGCAUAUUAUAGUUCAUCACCAAGUUCUAGUAACUUGGUGAUAGUGUCUAGAGAACUUUGUCAAUUACUAUCUUAUCUGGAAGAUUAACUCCCACUUGAUUCAAGCAAUUGUAGUACCCAGACAAUCUGAGCACAUGCUCACUGGUUGAGCUAUUCUCCUCCAUCUUGUAGGCAAGUACUGUCAGAGGUCUCCUGAAAGUGCAACUAUCCCUGGGUGGUUUUGGUAAUUCCUAACAACAUAUAGCUCAUUGAGCUAACAUUAUUCCAAGAUUAAUAUUUCAGGAAAAGCUCAAUGAAUGGCAUGGCAUGGAUGAGGAAAGUGGACCCCUCAAAAUACUAAGGACAAAAAGAUUGGCUCAAGCUCAAAGCUCAAGACUCUACAUUUUAUAUUUUAGUGAUCCAAGAUCACAUUGAGUCUAUAGGAAAAGCCAAUACUAUCAAGGAGGGAUGAGGUGUUGCUUGAUGAGGUUCUUGCUUCAUAGUGUUUAGUGAUAUGCUCCAAAACCCUCAACUACAUUCCCACAUCCACAUAUGACCUAAACCAAAAGUCAAACUCGGCCCCACCGAUUCUUUCUAUCCGGCGCCACCGAGUUCAGAUGUCAUAGCCACUGCCACAAACCCUAGGCAUAUCGGUCUCACCGAUAGGGAUCUCGGUCUCACCGAGAUGGGGUUGUAAUCUCUCUGUUUCCCUUCGUAACAUUUCGGUCCUACCGAGCUGAGCGAUCGGUCCCACCGAGAUUGCAAUGUAAACUCUCGGUUUCCCUUUUGUAACAUUUCGGUCCCACCGAAAUGAGCAAAUCGGUCCCACCGAGUUUACCUGACCAACUCUCUGGUUAGCUUAUUACCAAAAUCGGUCCCACUGAGUUUGUGUAAUCGGUCACAUCGAGAUUACGUUAUGCCCUAACCCUAACCAUAUCGGUCCUACCGAGUUGCAUCUCAGUCCCACCGAAAAUCCUAACGGUUACUAGGUUUGCUAAAUCGGUCUGACCGAGUUUCUCAAUUCGGUCUCACCGAGAUUGGUAAAUUGUGUGUAACGGUUAGUUUUUGUGUGGAGGCUAUAUAUACCCCUCCACCCACUCUUCAUUUGUGGAGAGAGCCAUCAGAACAUACCUACACUUCCAAUACACAUUUUCUGAGAGAGAACCACCUACUCAUGUGUUGAGGCCAAGAUAUUCCAUUCCCACCAUAUGAAUCUUGUUCUCUAGCCUUCCCCAAGUUGCUUUCCACUCAAAUCUUCUUUCCACCAAAUCCAUAUCCCGUGAGAGAGAGUUGAGUGUUGGGGAGACUAUCAUUUGAAGCACAAGAGCAAGGAGUUCAUCAUCAACACACCAUUUGUUACUUCUUGGAGAGUGGUGUCUCCUAGAUUGGCUAGGUGUCACUUGGGAGCCUCCAACAAGAUUGUGGAGUUGAACCAAGGAAUUUGUAAGGGCAAGGAGAUCGCCUACUUCGUGAAGAUCUACCGCUAGUGAGGCAAGUCCUUCAUGGGCGAUGGCCAUGAUGGGAUAGACAAGGUUGCUUCUUUGUGGACCCUUCGUGGGUGGUGUUGGGGAACGUAGUAAUUUCAAAAAUUUCCCUAUGCACACGCAAGAUCAUGGUGAUGCAUAGCAACGAGAGGGGGAGAGUGUGAUCUACGUACCCUUGUAGAUCGACAACGGAAGCGUUAACUUGGUUGAUGUAGUCAUACGUCUCCACGACCCGACCGAUCAAGCACCGAAACUACGGCACCUCCGAGUUCUAGCACACGUUCAGCUUGAUGACGAUCCCCGGACUCUGAUCCAGCAAAGUGUCAGGGAAGAGUUCCGUCAGCACGACAGCGUGGUGACGAUCUUGAUGUACUACCGUCGCAGGGCUUCGCCUAAGCACCACUACAAUAUUAUCGAGGACUAUGGUGGAAGGGGGCACCGCACACGGCUAAGAAUAUGAUCACGUGGAUCAACUUGUGUGUCUAGGGGUGCCCCCUGCCCCCGUAAAUAAAGGAGCAAGGGGAGGAGGCCGGCCGACCCUAUAGGCGCGCCAAGGAGGAGUCCUCCUCCUAGUAGGAGUAGGACUCCUACUAGGAGGGGGAAGGAAGUGGGGAGGGAGAGGGAAAGGGGGGCGCCGCCCCCCCUCUCCUAGUCCAAUUCGGACCAAGGGGGGAGGAGGCGCGCGGCCCACCUUUGGCUGCCCCUCUCUCUCUCUCCACUAAGGCCCAUAUGGACCAUUACUUGUCCCGGGGGGUUUUCGGUAACCCUCCGGCUCUCCGGUUUUCUCCGAAAUCACCCGGAACACUUCCGGUGUCCGAAUAUAGCCGUCCAAUAUAUCAAUCUUUAUGUCUCGACCAUUUUGAGACUCCUCGUCAUGUCCGUGAUCACAUCCGGGACUCCGAACUAACUUCGGUACAUCAAAACUCAUAAACUCAUAAUAUAACUGUCAUCGAAACCUUAAGCGUGCGGACCCUACGGGUUCGAGAACAAUGUAGACAUGACCGAGACACGUCUCCAGUCAAUAACCAAUAGCGGAACCUGGAUGCUCAUAUUGGCUCCUACAUAUUCUACGAAGAUCUUUAUCGGUCAGACCGCAUAACAACAUACAUCGUUCCCUUUGUCAUCGGUAUGUUACUUGCCCGAGAUUCGAUCGUCGGUAUCUCAAUACCUAGUUCAAUCUCGUUACCGGCAAGUCUCCUUACUCGUUCUGUAAUACAUCAUCCCGCAACUAACUCAUUAGUUGCAAUGCUUGCAAGGCUUAAGUGAUGUGCAUUACCGAGAGGGCCCAGAGAUACCUCUUCGACAAUCGGAGUGACAAAUCCUAAUCUCGAAAUACGCCAACCCAACAUGUACCUUUGGAGACACCUGUAGAGCUCCUUUAUAAUCACCCAGUUAUGUUGUGACGUUUGGUAGCACACAAAGUGUUCCUCUGGCAAACGGGAGUUGCAUAAUCUCAUAGUCAUAGGAACAUGUAUAAGUCAUGAAGAAAGCAAUAGUAACAUACUAAACGAUCGGGUGCUAAGCUAAUGGAAUAGGUCAUGUCAAUCAGAUCAUUCAACUAAUGAUGUGAUCCUGUUAAUCAAAUAACAACUCUUUGUCCAUGGUUAGGAAACAUAACCAUCUUUGAUUAACGAGCUAGUCAAGUAGAGGCAUACUAGUGACACUCUAUUUGUCUAUGUAUUCACACGUGUAUUAUGUUUCCGGUUAAUACAAUUCUAGCAUUAAUAAUAAACUUUUAUCAUGAUAUAAGGAAAUAAAUAAUAACUUUAUUAUUGCCUCUAGGGCAUAUUUCCUUCAGUCUCCCACUUGCACUAGAGUCAAUAAUCUAGAUUACACAGUAAUGAUUCUAACACCCAUGGAGCCUUGGUGCUGAUCAUGUUUUGCUCGUGGAAGAGGCUUAGUCAACGGGUCUGCAACAUUCAGAUCCGUAUGUAUCUUGCAAAUCUCUAUGUCUCCCACCUGGACUAGAUCCCGGAUGGAAUUGAAGCGUCUCUUGAUGUGCUUGGUUCUCUUGUGAAAUCUGGAUUCCUUCGCCAAGGCAAUUGCACCAGUAUUGUCACAAAAGAUUUUCAUUGGACUCGAUGCACUAGGUAUGACACCUAGAUCGAAUAUGAACUCCUUCAUCCAGAAUCCUUCAUUUGCUGCUUCCGAAGCAGCUAUGUAUUCCGCUUCACACGUAGAUCCCGCCACGAUGCUUUGUUUAGAACUGCACCAACUGACAGCUCCACCAUUUAAUGUAAACACAUAUCCGGUUUGUGAUUUAGAAUCGUCCGGAUCAGUGUCAAAGCUUGCAGCAAUGUAACCGUUUACGAUGAGCUCUUUGUCACCUCCAUAUACGAGAAACAUAUCCUUAGUCCUUUUCAGGUACUUCAGGAUGUUCUUGACCGCUGUCCAGUGAUCCACUCCUGGAUUACUUUGGUACCUCCCUGCUAGACUUAUAGCAAGGCACACAUCAGGUCUGGUACACAGCAUUGCAUACAUGAUAGAGCCUAUGGCUGAAGCAUAGGGAACAUCUUUCAUUUUCUCUCUAUCUUCUGCAGUGGUCGGGCAUUGAGUCUGACUCAACUUCACACCUUGUAACACAGGCAAGAACCCUUUCUUUGCUUGAUCCAUUUUGAACUUCUUCAAAAUCUUGUCAAGGUAUGUGCUUUGUGAAAGUCCAAUUAAACGUCUUGAUCUAUCUCUAUAGAUCUUUAUGCCUAAUAUGUAAGCAGCUUCACCGAGGUCUUUCAUUGAAAAACUCUUAUUCAAGUAUCCCUUUAUGCUAUCCAGAAAUUCUAUAUCAUUUCCGAUCAGUAAUAUGUCAUCCACAUAUAAUAUCAGAAAUGCUACAGAGCUCCCACUCACUUUCUUGUAAAUACAUGCUUCUCCAAAAGUCUGUAUAAAACCAAAUGCUUUUAUCACACUAUCAAAGCGUUUAUUCCAACUCCGAGAGGCUUGCACCAGUCCAUAAAUGGAUCGCUGGAGCUUGGACACUUUGUUAGCUCCCUUUGGAUCGACAAAACCUUACGGUUGCAUCAUAUACAACUCUUCUUCCAGAAAUCCAUUCAGGAAUGCAGUUUUGACAUCCAUCUGCCAAAUUUCAUAAUCAUAAAAUGCGGCAAUUGCUAACAUAUUCAAACAGACUUAAGCAUCGCUACGGGUGAGAAGGUCUCAUCGUAGUCAACCCCUUGAACUUGCCGAAACCCUUUUGCGACAAGUCGAGCUUUGUAGACAGUAAUAUUACCGUCGGCGUCAGUCUUCUUCUUGAAGAUCCAUUUAUUCUCAAUUGCUUGCCGAUCAUUGGGCAAGUCAACCAAAGUCCACACUUUGUUCUCAUACAUGGAUCCCACCUUAGAUUUCAUGGCUUCAAGCCAUUUUGCGGAAUCUGGGCUCACCAUUGCUUCUUCAUAGUUCGUAGGUUCAUCAUGAUCUAGUAGCAUGACUUCCAGAACUGGAUUACCGUACCACUCUAGCGCGGAUCUCACUCUGGUUGAUCUAUGAGGUUCAGUAGUAUCUUGUUCUGAAGUUUCAUGAUCAUUAUCAUUAUCUUCCUCACUAAUUGGUGUAGGUGUCACAGAAAUAGUUUUCUGUGAUGCACUACUUUCCAAUAAGGGAGCAGGUACAGUUACCUCGUCAAGUUCUACUUUCCUCCCACUCACUUCUUUCGAGAGAAACUCCUUCUCUAGAAAGUUUCCGAACUUAGCAACAAAAGUCUUGCCUUCGGAUCUGUGAUAGAAGGUGUAUCCAAUAGUCUCCUUUGGAUAUCCUAUGAAGACACAUUUCUCCGAUUUGGGUUCGAACUUAUCAGGUUGAAGAUUUUUCACGUAAGCAUCGCAGCCCCAAACUUUCAGAAACGACAACUUUGGUUUCUUGCCAAACCAUAGUUCAUAAGGCGUCGUCUCAACGGAUUUUGAUGGUGCCCUUUUUAACGUGAAUGCGGCCGUCUCCAAAGCAUAACCCCAAAACGAUAGCGGUAAAUCAGUAAGAGACAUCAUAGAUCGCACCAUAUCUAGUAAAGUACGAUUACAACGUUCGGACACACCAUUACGCUGUGGUGUUCUGGGUGGCGUGAGUUGCGAAACUAUUCCGCAUUGUUUCAAAUGUACACCAAACUCGUAACUCAAAUAUUCUCCUCCACGAUCAGAUCGUAGAAACUUUAUUUUCUUGUUAUGAUGAUUUUCAACUUCACUCUGAAAUUCUUUGAACUUUUCAAAUGUUUUAGACUUUUGUUUCAUUAAGUAGAUAUACCCAUAUCUGCUUAAGUCAUCUAUGAAGGUGAGAAAAUAACGAUAUCCGCCACGAGCCUCAAUAUUCAUCGGACCACAUACAUCUGUAUGUAUGAUUUCCAACAAAUCUGUUGCUCUCUCCAUAGUACCGGAGAACGGCGUUUUAGUCAUCUUGCCCAUGAGGCAUGGUUCGCAAGUACCAAGUGAUUCAUAAUCAAGUGGUUCCAAAAGUCCAUCAGUAUGGAGUUUCUUCAUGCACUUUACACCGAUAUGACCUAAACGGCAGUGCCACAAAUAAGUUGCACUAUCAUUAUCAACUCUGCAUCUAUUGGCUUCAACAUUAUGAAUAUGUGUGUUACUACUAUCGAGAUUUAAUAAGAAUAGACCACUCUUCAAGGGUGCAUGACCAUAAAAGAUAUUACUCAUAUAAAUAGAACAACCAUUAUUCUCUGAUUUAAAUGAAUAACCGUCUCGCAUCAAACAAGAUCCAGAUAUAAUGUUCAUGCUUAACGCUGGCACCAAAUAACAAUUAUUUAGGUCUAAUAUUAAUCUCGAAGGUAGAUGUAGAGGUAGCGUGCCGACCGCGAUCACAUCGACUUUGGAACCGUUUCCCACGCGCAUCGUCACCUCGUCCUUAGCCAAUCUUCGCUUAAUUCGUAGUCCCUGUUUCGAGUUGCAAAUAUUAGCAACAGAACCAGUAUCAAAUACCCAGGUGCUACUGCGAGCAUUAUCAAGGUACACAUCAAUAACAUGUAUAUCACAUAUACCUUUGUUCACCUUGCCAUCCUUCUUAUCCGCCAAAUACUUGGGGCAGUUCCACUUCCAGUGACCAGUCUGCUUGCAGUAGAAGCAAUCAGUUUCAGGCUUAGGUCCAGACUUGGGUUUCUUCUCUUGAGCAGCAACUUGCUUGCUGUUCUUCUUGAAGUUCCCCUUCUUCUUCCCUUUGCCCUUUUUCUUGAAACUAGUGGUCUUGUUGACCAUCAACACUUGAUGCUCCUUUUUGAUUUCUACCUCCGCAGCUUUCAGCAUUGCGAAGAGCUAGGGAAUAGUCUUAUUCAUCCCUUGCAUAUUAUAGUUCAUCACGAAGCUCUUGUAGCUUGGUGGCAGUGAUUGGAGAAUUCUGUCAAUGACGCAAUCAUCUGGAAGAUUAACUCCCAUUUGAAUCAAGUGAUUAUUAUACCCAGAAAUUUUGAGUAUAUGCUCACUGACAGAACUGUUCUCCUCCAUCUUGCAGCUAUAGAACUUAUUGGAGACUCCAUAUCUCUCAAUCCGGGCAUUUGCUUGAAAUAUUAACUUCAACUCCUGGAACAUCUCAUAUGCUCCAUGACGUUCAAAACGUUGUUGAAGUCCCGGUUCUAAGCCGUAAAGCAUGGCACACUGAACUAUCAAGUAGUCAUCAGCUUUGCUCUGCCAGACGUUCACAACAUCUGGUGUUGCUCCAGCAGCAGGCCUGGCACCCAGCGGUGCUUCCAGGAUGUAAUUCUUCUGUGCAGCCAUGAGGAUAAUCCUCAAGUUAUGGACCCAGUCCAUGUAAUUGCUACCAUCAUCUUUCAACUUUGCUUUCUCAAGGAACGCAUUAAAAUUCAACGGAACAACAACACGGGCCAUUUAUCUACAAUCAUACAUAAACAAGCAAGAUACUAUCAGGUACUAAGUUCAUGAUAAAUUUAGGUUCAAUUAAUCAUAUUACUUAAAGAACUCCCACUUAGAUAGACAUCCCUCUAAUCCUCUAAGUGAUUACGUGAUCCAAAUCAACUAAACCAUGUCCGAUCAUCACGCGAGAUGGAGUAGUUUCAUUAGUGAACAUCACUAUGUUGAUCAUAUCUACUAUAUGAUUCACGCUCGACCUUUCGGUCUCCAUGUUCCGAGGCCAUAUCUGUAUAUGCUUGGCUCGUCAAGUAUAACCUGAGUAUUCCGCGUGUGCAACUGUUUUGCACCCGUUGUAUUUGAACGUAGAGCCUAUCACACCCGAUCAUCACGUGGUGUCUCAGCACGAAGAACUUUCGCCACAGUGCAUACUCAGGGAGAACACUUCUUGAUAAUUUAGUGAGAGAUCAUCUUAUAAUGCUACCGUUAAUCAAAGCAAGAUAAGAUGCAUAAAAGAUAAACAUCACAUGCAAUCAAUAUAAGUGGUAUGAUAUGGCCAUCAUCAUCUUGUGCUUGUGAUCUCCAUCUCCGAAGCACCGUCGUGAUCACCAUCGUCACCGGCGCGACACCUUGAUCUCCAUCGUAGCAUCGUUGUCGUCUCACCAAUCUUAUGCUUCCACGACUAUCGCUACCGCUUAGUGAUAAAGUAAAGCAUUACAGCGCGAUUGCAUUGCAUACAAUAAAGCGACAACCAUAUGGCUCCUGCCAGUUGCCGAUAACUCGGUUACAAAACAUGAUCAUCUCAUACAAUAAAAUUUAGCAUCAUGUCUUGACCAUAUCACAUCACAACAUGCCCUACAAAAACAAGUUAGACGUCCUCUACUUUGUUGUUGCAAGUUUUACGUGGCUGCUACGGGCUUAAGCAAGAACCAAUCUUACCUACGCAUCAAAACCACAAUGAUAGUUUGUCAAGUUGGUGCUGUUUUAACCUUCUCAAGGACUGGGCGUAGCCACACUCGGUUCAACUAAAGUUGGAGAAACUGGCACCCACAAGCCACCUAUGUGCAAAGCACGUCGGGAGAACCGGUCUCGCGUAAGCGUACGCGUAAUGUCGGUCCGGGCCGCUUCGUCCAACAAUACCGCCGAACCAAAGUAUGACAUGCUGGUAAGCAGUAUGACUUAUAUCGCCCACAACUCACUUGUGUUCUACUCGUGCAUAUAACAUCAACAUAUAAAACCUAGGCUCUGAUACCACUGUUGGGGAACGUAGUAAUUUCAAAAAAUUUCCUACGCACACACAAGAUCAUGGUGAUGCAUAGCAACGAGAGGGGGAGAGUGUGAUCUACGUACCCUUGUAGAUCGACAACGGAAGCGUUAACUUGGUUGAUGUAGUCGUAUGUCUCCACGGCCCGACCGAUCAAGCACCGAAACUACGGCACCUCCGAGUUCUAGCACACGUUCAGCUUGAUGACGAUCCCCGGACUCCGAUCCAGCAAAGUGUCGGGGAAGAGUUCCGUCAGCACGAUGGCACGGUGACGAUCUUGAUGUACUACCGUCGCAGGGCUUCGCCUAAGCACCGCUACAAUAUUAUCGAGGACUAUGGUGGAAUGGGGCACCGCACACGGCUAAGAAUAUGAUCACGUGGAUCAACUUGUGUGUCUAGGGGUGCCCCCUGCCCCCGUAUAUAAAGGAGCAAGGGGAGGAGGCCGGCCGACCCUAUAGGCGCGCCAAGGAGGAGUCCUCCUCCUAGUAGGAGUAGGACUCCUACUAGGAGGGGGAAGGAAGUGGGGAGGGAGAGGGAAAGGGGGGCGCUGCCCCCCUCUCCUAGUCCAAUUCGGACCAAGGGGGGAGGAGGCGCGCGACCCACCUUUGGCUGCCCCUCUCUCUCUCCACUAAGGCCCAUAUGGCCCAUUACUUCUCCCGAGGGGUUUCCGGUAACCCUCCGGCUCUCCGGUUUUCUCCGAAAUCACCCGGAACACUUCCGGUGUCCGAAUAUAGCCGUCCAAUAUAUCAAUCUUUAUGUCUAGACCAUUUCGAGACUCCUCGUAAUGUUCAUGAUCACAUCCGGGACUCCAAACUAACUUCGGUACAUAAAAACUCAUAAACUCAUAAUAUAACUGUCAUCGAAACCUUAAGCGUGCGGACCCUACGGGUUCGAGAACAAUGUAGACAUGACCGAGACACGUCUCCGGUCAAUAACCAAUAGCGGAACCUGGAUGCUCAUAUUGGCUCCUACAUAUCCUACGAAGAUCUUUAUCGGUCAGACCGCAUAACAACAUAUGUCAUUCCCUUUGUCAUCGGUAUGUUACUUGCCCGAGAUUCGAUCGUCGGUAUCUCAAUACCUAGUUCAAUCUCGUUACCAGCAAGUCUCUUUACUCAUUCUGUAAUACAUCAUCCCGCAACUAACUCAUUAGUUGCAAUGCUUGCAAGGCUUAAGUGAUGUGCAUUACCGAGAGGGCCAGAGAUACCUCUCCGACAAUCGGAGUGACAAAUCCUAAUCUCGAAAUACGCCAACCCAACAUGUACCUUUGGAGACACCUGUAGAGCUCCUUUAUAAUCACCCAGUUACGUUGUGACGUUUGGUAGCACACAAAGUGUUCCUCUGGCAAACGGGAGUUGCAUAAUCUCAUAGUCAUAGGAACAUGUAUAAGUCAUGAAGAAAGCAAUAGCAACAUACUAAACGAUCGGGUGCUAAGCUAAUGGAAUGGGUCAUGUCAAUCAGAUCAUUCAACUAAUGAUGUGAUCCCGUUAAUCAAAUAACAACUCUUUGUCCAUGGUUAGGAAACAUAACCAUCUUUGAUUAACGAGCUAGUCAAGUAGAGGCAUACUAGUGACACUCUGUUUGUCUAUGUAUUCACACAUGUAUUAUGUUUCCGGUUAAUAAAAUUCUAGCAUGAAUAAUAAACUUUUAUCAUGAUAUAAGGAAAUAAGUAAUAACUUUAUUAUUGCGUCUAGGGCAUAUUUCCUUCAGGUGGAGCCCUCCGUGGACUCGCGCAACUGUUACCCUUCGUGGGUUGAAGUCUCCAUCAACGUGGAUGUACGAUAGCACCACCUAUUGGAACCAUGACAAAAACAUUCGUGUCUCCAAUUGCGUUUGAAUUCUCCAAACCCUUCCCGUUACAUUCUUGCAAGUUGCAUGAUUUAUUUUCUGCUACUCAUCGACUCUUUGCAUGCUUGCUUGAAUUGUGUUAAGAUUGCUUGACUUGUGCUAAGAUUGCUAAAAUCUGCCAAAGACUAAAAUUGGGAAAAGUAUAGAUUUUUAAUUGGUCAAGUAGUCUAAUCACCCCCUCUAGACAUACUUUCGAUCCUACAAGUGGUAUCAGAGCUUUGGUCUCCAUUUGCUUUGAUUUCCAUAGCUUUUGGUGGUCAUAGCCUUGGUUUAACAACCUAGGAGAGUAUGGCGUCUAGCGAGGGAAAUUAUCACUGUAGAGGUCCUUACUUUGAUGACACUAAUUUUGCUAGUUGGAAGCAUAAGAUGAAAAUGCAUAUUCUUGGACAUAACCCCACCGUUUGGGCUAUUGUGUGUGUUGGCUUGCAAGGUGAAUUCUUUGAUGGGAGAGAACCGAAUCGUGAAGCCACCGCAGAAGAGUUGAAGAUGCUGCAAUACAAUGGUCAAGCUUGUGAUAUCCUCUUCAACGGAUUGUGCCCUGAAGAAUUCAACAAAAUCAGCCGUCUUGAGAAUGCAAAGGAAAUUUGGGAUACUUUGAUUGACAUGCAUGAAGGUACCGACUCCGUCAAGGAAUCCAAGUUGGAUGUGCUUCAAAGUCAACUUGACAAGUUCAAAAUGAAGGAUGGUUAAGGUGUCGCUGAAAUGUACUCUAGGCUUGCUGUUAUCACAAAUGAGAUUGCCGGCUUAGGAAGUGAAGAGAUGACCGACAGAUUCAUCAUCAAGAAGAUCCUAAGAGCCUUGGAUGGAAAAUAUGAUACCGUGUGCACAUUGAUUCAAAUGAUGCCCAAUUACAAAGAUCUCAAGCCAACGGAAGUCAUUGGAAGAACUGUUGCUCAUGAGAUGUCACUCAAGGAUAAGGAGGAGCUCCAUAACAAGUCAAGUGGUGCAUACAAAGCCUCAUGUGAAGCUCCCACAUAAUCAAGUGAGAAACAAACCUUCAAUAAAGAAUUGAGCCUAAUGGUGAAGAACUUCAACAAGUUCUACAAGAAUAGAAGCAAAGAGAGAAGUUCCAAGUCAAGGUCCUAUAAUGGCAAAAGAUCUUCUAGUCGAGAGCGAAACUUCUACAAUUGUGGAAGACCCGGACACUACUCCAAUGAGUGUACGGCUCCCCACAAGAGAAGAGAAGAUUCUCCUAAAAGAAAGAGAAGAAUCACCAUCAAGGGAGAGAAGGAGUAGGGAUGAUCGAUAUGAACGAAGACCCUCUCGGAGAAGCAAGGAUUCGGAAAGGAAGGACAAGUCAUCAAGGAGCUACACAAAACAAAGACAUCAAGCUCAUGUUGGUGAAUGGGUAUCAGGCUCCAACUCCGACAAUGACUCCGAGAGAAGCUAUCACUCUGACUCCGAAUAUACUCAAGAUGAAGGUGUUGCCGGUCUAGCACUUGUGUCAACCAACUCCUAUGACAUAUUUGAUUCACCAAAUGAAGGAAUUGGAAGAUGCUUCAUGGCCAAAGGUACAAAGGUAUCACACCCCGAGUAUGUUGAUUUCAAUAGUGAUGAAGAUGACUUGUUAGGUGAUGAUGAUUUACUUGUUGACAACUAUAGUGAUGAAUACUAUGAUGAAACGUCAAUUAAUCAUGCUAAUCAAGAUGAAACGGAUGACAAUGAUAAGGAGAAGAUUGAGUCUCUAACUAAAGAACUAAACACUCUUAAGUUAUCUCAUGAAACUACCUUAGGAGAUCAUCGAGAACUUUUAAGGACUCAUGAGAAAUUACGUUUUGAAAAGCUCAACCUUGAGCAAAAGCAUGAGUUCUUAAAGGCAAUCAAUGAUGAUCUUCGCAAGAAAAGUUCUUACAUUGCCAAGCAUUUACUCUUAUCCACUUACAUGCCUCAAGUCAAGUCUAGUAACAAGAACAAGAAAGAUUCUUCCUCUAGUAGUAACAAUAAUCAUGCUAAAUCCAAUGUUGUUGCUUCUAGUAGUUCUCUUGAUUCCACUAAUGAUUCUCUUAGCCAAGUUACACUUGAGCAAGAAAAUAGCUUAUUGAAGGGAAUCAUAGAGAAAGGUGUUUACAAGAGCCUUGCUGGGAGUAAGCAAUUCAAGGAAAUUGUAUGCAAGCAAGGAAGGCACCGGAAGAAUCAAGGUAUUGGUUUUGAACGAAAGUUCAAUGCCAAUGGAGUUGAGUGGGAAGAAGAUCAAUACCCCAAGACGAAGUUUGUUCCUCAACAAGAGAAGUAUGAUCCUACUUCUUCCAAAGGGACACAAGCUCAAGAUGAUCUUCCACCACAAGACCACAAGCAAAAAGGCAAGGACAAGCUUCAAGAGGAAAUUGAUGCAUUUGAAGAAGCUCCUAAGGCCUUGAAGUGGGUUCCCAAGACUACAUCAAGUUCCACUUCAUCAAGUACAACUACAACUCCAAGGAUUCCCAUCAAGAUGGUGUGGAUCCUGAAGAAGAAGAACUAGAGAGUUCUUGAGGGUGACUCCGCCAACAUACUUCACUCUUAUCAUUUUGGCAAGAACAAGUGCAAUCAGCUUCCACAUCUUGCACUAGUUCAAGGAGUCACAAACCCUCUUGUUGGUAAGACAAGGGACAAGGUAACCUAAUGCUCUCAUAGACAUCAUCUUGUGUGUGCAUCACUCUAUGUCUAUGGAUAUCCUUGUUUGUUCCUUGUGGGACUAACCCGUGUAGGUAUUGAAAGUGCAACUCACUCCAAAGGAUAGCUCCAAAUGAUCUACAUCAACAUUAAGCAUCCACAUCUUCAACAUCUACAUGAAGUCAUCAUCGACAAAACCCAAGGUUAGUUCAUCCCUCUUAGGGGGGAUCUCACAUCUGGGGGGAGCUUUACUCUAAGAAUUGAGCUAAAGCAACUCUAAUGGUGUGAAAACAACAACGCUUUAUGUAAAAGUGGUAACCCCACUUGUGCUUAAACGAUGAGUAUGACCUAUGAUCAAAUGUUCUCAUUUGACUCCUAAGUCAAUAUACUCAUAUAUAGAUGACCUAGUCAUCGCCAAUUGCUUGAUAGAUGCUAGAAUUGUUUGUGCAUGCUCUGCCACAUAUUUCAUUUGUCAUUUUUAUUGUGUGAGCAUGUUGGUUGCAUAAUUUACUCAUUCGAGGACAUCCACUUGUUGUUUUGAUUGAUUGGUUUCUUUUUCUCUUGCCAAGUGGAUGGACAAUAAUGCCUAAGAACCUUCUCUAGCUAUCUAUGCCUUUCUCAUCUCAAACUCUAUUCAUGCUGCAUCACAAAAUUUGAUCAAGUCAGAUUCGAACCACUCUGUGUGAGGAGCACUAGGAGUCCCCGAUUCAUCAUAGACUUAAACUUCCAAAACUUCUUUGUGCGUUUCGGUCUGACUAAUUCACCCAUUUCGGUCAUACCGAGAUCACUAAGUCAAUCUAGGUUUUCAAUCUCGAUGCAACCGAUUUGAACUUUUCGGUCACACCGAGUUGCAGCAACUACUUGUAGUUAUGCAUCUCGGUGCCACCGAGUUGUUCCACUCGGUCACACCGAUAGGGUCGGGCUAUAUAUACCCACAGGCAAAAAUUUGGAAAUUUUCUCCAAACUCUUUCGCCCGCGCUUAGCCCGCUCUGCCUCCAGGGUCUCCGGAUCGCCCUCCUCGUCGCCAGUUGCCUCCUGCCGCUGGUUUCCGCGACCGUCAACGGAAUCAUCCCCGCCGUUGCCGCCGUAGCGAGUUCAUCGCCGAAUUAGGGUAUGAACUUGAUCACUGUGCUAUCCUUAUCUGAUUUCUAGCACAUUGUGUUCGCCAUGAAUCUUGCCACGAUUGAAACUAUCUUAUCCAGUCAAAAACACUCCGUAGAUUAGAGAUGAUUUGAAAAUUUAGGGUUAGGUUUCCGCCGAAACCAUCUCGGACCAACCGAGUUGUGGAACUCGGUACCACCGAUUUGGCUCAGGCCAUUGCACACGUGAUUCUCGGUCUGACCGAGAAUUGCAAAUCGGUGUGACCGAGUUCAGGACUUUGUGAAACCCUAGCAGUCUCGGUGCCACCGAACUGUGACUUGGUCUGACCGAGUUCACUAGUUUAGGUUCCAACAACUGCUUCGGUAUCACUGAGUUUACAAAUCGGUUGAUCCGAAAUGCUUUCUGAGGAAAACUAAAACUAAGUUUUUGAUUCAUUCUUUUGCAAAAACCUCUAUAUUUUGUGAUGCUCAUCCACUCUACCUCAUCUAUAAUCUAUUCACAGGGUCAGCUGUCAGAGAUUGCAUUAUGUCUGAUCAAAGUGACAGUCAGAACAAGUCAGAGGAGCAGGUUCACACGAGUGAGGGCACUAGUCCCUCUAGCAUCUCAGAUGAUGGAAGUAGGAGCACACCCAGCAACUUGCCAAAAGCUGCCACCAGGGCCAGAAAGAAGAAAACUUCUGAAUGUGAGGAUCAAGACUAUGUGGAAGUUGAGGAUGAGGCCACUUCCAAGAAGAAAGUGGUUAAAAAGGAAUAUAGCACUGCUACUACAACUAAGCUAGGUCUGAAGACCAAGAGGCCAGCAGGAAGACAGCCAAUGUCUAAAGCCAGAGCAUCUACUCAAGAGACUUUGGGAUCUGCACCCAAAGAGUAGGUUGUGGCAGAAAAGAAAAGGAAAGAGAGGGUCAAGAAGACCACUGCCAGAGUGCUUGGGAGAUCUUCAAUCAUGAAAGACUCUGAAGAAGAGGAAGAGGAAGAGGAUGCUGCACCAGCACCUAAGGCACAGAAACUUAUGGGAGAUGCCAUAAGAUCAGGGGCUGCUUCAUCUAAGCCCAAAGAAGCUCCAAAGCCAGCUGCUCCAAAACCCAAAACUGCACCAAAGAGGAGUACCAGGAACAUUCCAGCUGUUGAGAAAAGCAAGGCCCCAGUGCCUGAAACUGUUGCUGAAGAAGAAGAUGAUGAGACACAUGUUUUGAGGAAGUUAAAGCCAAAAAUUCCAGAUCAUAAUGAUGCUCAUCCUGUAGCAGAAAACAGGAAGAUCAGGAAGGACCCAAGAUUGAGGCUAUGGAGAGAGUCAGAUCCAUAUGCCACCAGGAGGAGAACUGUUGUGGACUACAGGUUCCAUACCAAAGAACAUCAGGAUUUUUAUGAGACAGUGUUGCUUGACAAGAAACCAAUAGUAUGUGACAUGAGAUGGGUGAACUGAGAGUACAUCAAGGAGAAUGAAGAAUGCUAUCCAGGAGUAUAUGACAGUUUCAAGGCUUGUGGAGUUGAUGAGUUUGUGGCUCAGAAGUUCACAAAGUGGAAUGAUGAGCUUAUCAUGCAGUUCUACUCCAUAGCUCACUUCUACCCAGAUGGCAAGAUAGUCUGGAUGUCUGAAGGCACUAGAUACCAGUCAACAGUAGCAGAAUGGGCUCAAUUGAUCAAUGCUCCUGAGGAGAAUGAAGAUGACUUGGAUGUCUAUGCCAAGAAGAAGAAGGAUCACAACUGCAUGGCUAGCAUGUACAAGGAGAUUCCUGAUGCAGAUCUUGAGACUCACCAAUUUGGAUCAGUGAAACACCUGCUGUCAGGACUGCCUACUAUCAAUUGGAUUCUCAGGAACACUCUUCUGCCCAAGUCUGGUGAUCACAGAAUGAUUAGAGGCCACUCCAUCAAUCUGCUACAUAUAUUUGAUGUGCCACAAAAGUUCAAGGUCAUGAGUCUUAUAGUUGAAACUAUCAAGAGGACAGCUGCUGACCAAAAGAGAAGUUGUGGGUAUGCACCACAGAUCCAUGAGUUGAUUAUCUCCAAGCUGGGCACUGGCACAUACUUGUUGGACAAGGAGCACAUGCAUAUCUAUCCAGACUUUGAGGAAAACCAAGUGGUUAUGAAUGAGGAUGAACCAUCUUCUGUGCAUGUUCAAGCAAAGAGGGAGAAGGUAAAGGCUGAGAAAGCUGCAAAGAUGCCAACCAUGGAAGAGGCAUCUCAGUAUCUUCUGAAGAGCAAGCAAGAUCAGCUUGGCUACUUGAUUGCAUCCACUCUAAGGAUUGAGAAAGGGAUGGCCACCCUAACUCAAAACCAGGAGAGCUUGGAAAGGAUCAUAGAGCAGAAGUUCUAUGUCAUGGAUGUGAAGGUAACUGAGAUCCAGUCUGUUGUGGAGCAACUUCAGGAUGAUAUGCAGGAGAGGACGGGCAAGACAACCACUGAUGCAUUUGCCAGAGUGCCUAGAGCUCAGAGAUCUGCUGCAGUGCCUUCACUACACCAGCUACAGCUUCAGUGCCACCAGCUCCAGCACCUACUCCAUCAGCUCCAUCUACAUCGACUGAAGCAUUCAUUCUUGGAGUUAUCCGGACACCACCACCUGAAGACCAAGCCUGAGAGACGAUUUAGUGCUAUGCAUUUUCUAUGAACUUUUUGGUAACUUGUUGCCAAAGGGGAAGAAAAAUGUAUAGAUCAUAGGCUUCGAGAGAGAGUGUUGCUUUUUAUUCUCUCUUGCUUUGGUGGUUGAACUUUAUUUGCUUGAUUGAGAUACUUUCUGUCUGUGUGAUACUUGGAUGAUGAUAUGUGUUUGAUCUUAUGCUACAUUAAUGCUUGUUGGAUGACAUUAUCAUUUUAUCCCUAUAUGAUCAGUCACUUUGCUCGGUGAUGAGUGCAUGUAUUUAAUUAUUAUCAUUUUGAGCGCUCCACCAAGAUGUAUGUGACAUGGAAGAGUAACCCAUGAGCCUAACUCUUUGUGCAUUUGCAGUCCAAAGCAAAUCAUAAACUAUGCACAAAUUCAGGGGGAGCUCUUGCUUUUCACAUACUUCUCAAAGCGACAAUGGUUUUCACUCUUAUUAUCAUUCGUCGAAGCUUUGAUCUAUAUGUUGUCAUCAAUUACCAAAAAGGGGGAGAUUGAAAGUGCAACUAUCCCUGGGUGGUUUUGGUAAUUCCUAACAACAUAUAGCUCAUUGAGCUAACAUUAUUCCAAGAUUAAUAUUUCAGGAAAAGCUCAAUGAAUGGCAUGGCAUGGAUGAGGAAAGUGGACCCCUCAAAAUACUAAGGACAAAAAGAUUAGCUCAAGCUCAAAGCUCAAGACUCUACAUUUUAUAUUUUAGUGAUCCAAGAUCACAUUGAGUCUAUAGGAAAAGCCAAUACUAUCAAGGAGGGAUGAGGUGUUGCUUGAUGAGGUUCUUGCUUCAUAGUGUUUAGUGAUAUGCUCCAAAACCCUCAACUACCUUCCCACAUCCACAUAUGACCUAAACCAAAAGUCAAACUCGGCCCCACCGAUUCUUUCUAUCCGGCGCCACUGAGUUUAGAUUUCAUAGCCACUGCCACAAACACUAGGCAAAUCGGUCUCACCGAUAGGGAUCUCGGUCUCACCGAGAUGGGGUUGUAAUCUCUCUGUUUCCCUUCAUAACGUUUCGGUCCUACCGAGAUGAGCGAUCAGUCCCACUGAGAUUGCAAUGUAAACUCUCUGUUUCCCUUUUGUAACAUUUUGGUCCACCGAAAUGAGAAAAUCGGUCCCACCGAGUUUACCUGACCAACUCUCUGGUUAGCUUAUUACCAAAAUCGGUCCCACCGAGUUUGUGUAAUCGGUCACACCGAGAUUACAUCAUUCCCUAACCCUAACCAUAUCGGUCCUACCGAGUUGCAUCUCAGUCCCACCGAAAAUCCUAAUGGUCACUAGGUUUGCUAAAUCGGUCCGACCGAGUUUCUCAAUUCGGUCUCACCGAGAUUGGUAAAUUUUGUGUCACGGUUAGUUUUUGUGCGGAGGCUAUAUAUACCCCUCCACCCACUCUUCAUUCGUGGAGAGAGCCAUCAGAACAUACCUACACUUCCAAUACACAUUUUCUGAGAGAGAACCACCUACUCAUGUGUUGAGGCCAAGAUAUUCCAUUCCCACCAUAUGAAUCUUGAUCUCUAGCCUUCCCCAAGUUGCUUUCCACUCAAAUCUUAUUUCCACCAAAUCCAUAUCCCGUGAAAGAGAGUUGAGUGUUGGGGAGACUAUCAUUUGAAGCACAAGAGCAAGGAGUUCAUCAUCAACACACCAUUUGUUACUUCUUGGAGAGUGGUGUCUCCUAGAUUGGCUAGGUGUCACUUGGGAGCCUCCGACAAGAUUGUGGAGUUGAACCAAGGAGUUUGUAAGGGCAAGGAGACCGCCUACUUCGUGAAGAUCUACCGCUAGUGAGGCAAGUCCUUCGUGGGCGAUGGCCAUGAUGGGAUAGAUAAGGUUGCUUCUUCGUGGACCCUUCAUGGGUGGAGCCCUCCGUGGACUCGCGCAACCAUUACCCUUCGUGGGUUGAAGUCUCCAUCAACGUGGAUGUACGAUAGCACCACCUAUCGGAACCACGACAAAAACAUUCGUGUCUCCAAUUGCGUUUGAAUUCUCCAAACCCUUCCCAUUACAUUCUUGCAAGUUGCAUGCUUUACUUUCCGCUGCUCAUAGACUCUUUGCAUGCUUGAUUGAAUUGUGUUAAGAUUGCUUAACUUGUGCUAAGAUUGCUAAAAUCUCCCAAAGACUAAAAUUGGGAAAAUGAUAGAUUUUUAAUUGGUCAAGUAGUCUAAUCACCCCCCUCUAGACAUACUUUCGAUCCUACAUCUCCUACCUCUCGACACGGGCAUGAGUAUGAAAUACCAAUUUCAACUCUUCGAACAUCUUAUAUGCUCUGUGGCAUUCAAAAACAUUUUUGAAGUCCCGGUUCUAAGCCGUAAAGCAUGGUGCACUAAACUAUUAAGUAGUCAUCAUUCCGAGCUUUGUCAAACAUUCACAACGUCUGCAUUUGCUCCUGCAAUAGUUAUGUCACCUAGCGGUGCAUCAAGGAUAUAAUUCUUCUGUGCAGGAACGAGGAUAAUCCUUAGAUCACAGAUCCAAUACACAUCAUUGCUACUAUCAUCUUUCAACAUAGUUUUCUCUAGGAACAUAUCAUUAAUAAAACGGGGAAGUUAUAUGCGAGCAAUUGAUCUACAACAUAGAUAUGCAAAUACUAUCAGGACUAAGUUCAUGAUAAAUUUAAGUUCAAUUAAUCAUAUUACUUAAGAAUUCCCACUUAGAUAGACAUCCCUCUAAUCAUCUAAGUGAUCACAUGAUCCAUAUCAACUAAACCAUGUCUGAUCAUCACAUGAGAUGGAGUAGUUUUCAAUGGUGAACAUCACUAUGUUGAUCAUAUCUACUAUAUGAUUCACGCUCGACCUUUAGGUCUUAGUGUUCCGAGGCCAUAUCUGCAUAUGCUAGGCUCGUCAAGUUUAACCCGAGUAUUCUGCAUGUGCAAAACUGGCUUGCACCCGUUGUAUGUGAACGUAGAGCUUAUCACACCCGAUCAUCACGUGGUGUCUCAACACGAAGAACUGUCGCAACGGUGCAUACUCAGGGAGAAUACUUGUACCUUGAAAUUUAGUGAGAGAUCAUCUUAUAAUGCUACCGCCGAACUAAGCAAAAUAAGAUGCAUAAAGGAUAAACAUCACAUGCAAUCAAAUAUAAGUGAUAUGAUAUGGCCAUCAUCAUCUUGUGCCUUUGAUCUCCAUCUCCAAAGCACCGUCAUGAUCACCAUAGUCACCGGCUUGACACCAUGAUCUCCAUCAUCUUGAUCUUUAUCAACGUGUUGUCACAUGGUCGUCUCGCCAUCUAUUUCUUUUGCAACUAUUGCUAUCGCAUAGCGAUAAAGUAAUGCAAUUAUAUGGUGCUUGCAUCUUAUGCAAUAAAGAGACAACCAUAAGGCUCCUGCCAUUUGCUGAUAAAUUUAACAAAACAUGAUCAUCUCAUACAACAAUUUAUAUCUCAUCACGUCUUGACCAUAUCACAUCACAACAUGCCCUGCAAAAACAAGUUAGACGUCCUCUACUUUGUUGUUGCAAGUUUUACGUGGCUACUACGGGCUUCUAGCAAGAACCGUUCUUACCUACGCAUCAAAACCACAACGUAGUAUAGUGAUUGCUUUUUGAUCUUCAGAAAGAACCAUGUUCAUUGAAACCGAUUCAACUAAAGUUGGAGAAACAGACACCCACUAGCCACCUAUGUGCGAAGCAUGUCGCUAGAACCAGUCUCGCGUAAGCGUACGCGUAAUGUCGGUCUGAGCCGCUUCAUCCAACAAUACCGCUGAAUCAAGAAUCAACUAGUGACGGCAAGAAAUAUGUAUAUACCCACGUCCAUAACUCCUUUGUGUUCUACUCGUGCAUAUAACAUCUACACACAGACCUGGCUCGGAUUCCACUGUUGGGGAACGUAGUAAUUUCAAAAAAAUUCCUACGCACACGCAAGAUCCAUCUAGGUGAUGCAUAGCAACGAGCGGGGAAGAGUGUUGUCUACGUACCCUUGUAGACCGUAAGCGGAAGCGUUAUGACAACGCGGUUGAUGUAGUUGUACAUCUUCACGAUCCGACCGAUCCUAGCACCGAAGGUACGACACCUCCGCGAUCUGCACACGUUCAGCUCAGUGACGUCCUGUGAACUCUAGAUCUAGCUGAGUGUCGAGGGAGAGUUUCAUCAGCACGACGGUGUGAUGAUGGUGAUGAUGAAGCUACUAGAACAGGGCUUCGCCUAAGCACUGCAAUGAUAUGACCGAGGUGGAUUAUGGUGGAGGGGGGCACCGCACACGGCUAAGAUAAUUGUCAACUUGUGUGUCUAUGGGGUGCCCCCUCCACCUUAUACUCCCUCCGGUCCUUUUUACUCUGCAUAUUAGAAUUCUCUGAAGUCAAACUUCACAAAGUUUGACCGUAUUUAUAUGAAAAAUAUCAACAUCUGCCAUGCUAAAGUUUUACAAUAUGAAACUUUAAGUCAUGAUACAUCUAUUGAUAUUGAUUUCAGAUUGUGAAUGUUGGUACUUUUUUCUAUAAAGUUGGUCAAACUUUACGAGGCUUGACUUCCGUCAAAUCUUAUAUGCGAACUAAAAAGGACUGGAGGGAGUAUAAAGGAGUGGAGGAGGGGGAGGGGCCGACCCUCUAUGGCGCGCCCAAGGGAGUCCUACUCCCACCAGGAGUAGGAUUCCCCCCCCCUUUCCUAGUUGGAUUAGGAGAGGAAGGAAGGGGGCGAGAGGGGGAAAGGAAAGGGGGGGCCAGCCCCCCACCCAAUUAAGAUUGGGCUUGGGGGGGCCCUCCUAGGCUCCCUUCUCCUCUCUCCCACUAUGGCCCAAUAAGGCCCAUAUACUUCCCGGGGGGUUUCGGUAACCUCCCGGUACUCCGGUAUAUUCCCGAACUCACCCGAAACCAUUACGAUGUCCAAACAUAGGCUUCCAAUAUAUCGAUCUUUAUGUCUCGACCAUUUAGAGACUCCUCGUCAUGCCCGUGAUCACAUCCGGGACUCCGAACAACCUUUGGUACAUCAAAACACAUAAACUCAUAAUACCGAUCGUCACCAAACAUUAAGCGUGCGGACCCUACGGGUUCGAGAACUAUGUAGACAUGACCGAGACUCAUCUCCGGUCAAUAACCAAUAGCGGAACUUGGAUGAUCAUAUUGGUUCCUACAUAUUCUACGAAGAUCUUUAUCGGUCAAACCGCAUAACAACAUACGUUGUUCCCUUUGUCAUCGGUAUGUUACUUGCCCGAGAUUUGAUCGUCGGUAUCUCAAUACCUAGUUCAAUCUCGUUACCGGCAAGUCUCUUUACUUGUUUCGUAAUGCAACAACCCGUAACUAACUCAUUAGUCACAUUGCUUGCAAGGCUUAUAGUGAUGUGCACUACCGAGAGGGCCCAGAGAUACCUCUCCGAUACACGGAGUGACAAAUCCUAAUAUCGAUUUAUGCCAACUCAACAAACACCAUCGAAGACACCUGUAGAGCAUCUUUAUAGUCACCCAGUUACGUUGUGACAUUUGAUAGCACACUAAGUGUUCCUCCGAUAUUCGGGAGUUGCAUAAUCUCAUAGUCAUAGGAACAUGUAUAAGUCAUGAAGAAAGCAAUAUCAAUAAACUAACGAUCAUAGUGCUAAGCUAACAGAUUGGUCAAGUCAAUCAUAUCAUUCUCUAAUGAUGUGAUCCCGUUAAUCAAAUGACAACUCAUGUCUAUGGUUAGGAAACAUAACCAUCUUUGAUUAACGAGCUAGUCAAGUAGAGGCAUACUAGUGACACUUUGUUUGUCUAUGUAUUCACACAUGUACUAAUUUCCGGUUAAUAAAAUUUUAGCAUGAAUAAUAAACAUUUAUCAUGAUAUAAGGAAAUAUAAAUAACAACUUUAUUAUUGUCUCUAGGGCAUAUUUCCUUCAAAAUGGAUCUCAAGUGAAUCCUAAGUCUUAACCAUCUAGGAGGAACACACCCUCCAAUAGUAACAAGCAAAGCAAAGUCAAUCGUUGGAACUCCUCAAAAGCUCUUCAAGCAAAGCUUUUCUCAAGUACCCAUAGGAUCUCUCUCUCUCUCACACACACAUAGACACACACACACAAUAUGAGUGGUAUAAGAACAAAGGAACACUAGAUGUGGGGGUUCAAGAAGAAGAGAGGAGCUUGACCUUUAAAGAAUCAUGGAAGUGUUGUUGGAAUCACCCAACAACUUCCUUUUAUCCUUUGUUGCCUUGAGACUAUCUAGACUUGAACUUGUGUGAGUUGGGAUGGAAUGAGGUGGUUAACACAACAUAGGUCCAAUUCUAUAUAUAGAGAUCACAAAAAUCUUGUCGUUACUUGAAAAUGCAACUAGCCCGAAAGUAUCAGAAAAAACUUCUCGGAACUACUGGACAUGUUCAAUAGUUGAACGAUCGGAGGAUAUAUAAAAAAUGUAAGAGAAAAUAUUGUACUAUAAAGUUACGAGGUAAAGUAAAGCAAAGGUUCCGAACAACAAGACUAUUGUGGCUCUUUUCUACAAGAAUAGAAUAGACGUGAAAGAACCGGGUAAAGCCAGAUGCUCGGUAGUAUCAUAAUGAACAUAGUUCUCAAUAGAAAAAUGCAGAAAUGCCAAAGUCACAACUCCUAAGUACCAGGUGGAUUUGCAUGGAAGUACUAGAAUUAUACUGUGACCUAAUACAAAGGCAAACUGAAAAGGCCUCGAAAGUGCCAUGAAAAAUGUUAUGCUUGAAGGCGCCCGAGCUAACAAGAAGAGUUUCAAUGGAAACGAGGCUCAACAUAUAACAUUAUAAACAUGAGCGGCAGUUCCGACCUAUGAAAACUGGGUUUGCUGGGCAUGGACUCACUCUAUAUAGGGUCGGUAGUACCGGCUAGGAAAAUAAGUGGUAUCAGGAAUGUUUUGGAAGCAUAAGUAGUACAAAAAUUCAGGAUUUCUUUUGAGUUUGAAGUAAACAAGUGCCGAGUCUCUAAUACGUGUUUGCAUUGAUUUCAGGAUUUUUGGAAAACGAAGGAGGUGCAAGGGGUGCAAAGCAUGUCUUUUUGUCCACAACAUCGAUGUGGUUGAGCAUUUCUUGUCAUUGUAUAUGAGAAUGCACAUUUAUAUGCCACUAGGGUUCUACUUGCUAACUUCAAUCGUCAAAGAAGGCCUACUGAAAAAUCGUACUAGCAAUAAAUAUAUGAAGUAUGAAAAAUUUGGUAAUGUAAUGGAAUGUGAUGCAACGGAAUUAAAUGAUUAUAUGUAUUUCUGUGAUAGAUCAUUNNNNNNNNNNNNNNNNNNNNNNNNNNNNNNNNNNNNNNNNNNNNNNNNNNNNNNNNNNNNNNNNNNNNNNNNNNNNNNNNNNNNNNNNNNNNNNNNNNNNNNNNNNNNNNNNNNNNNNNNNNNNNNNNNNNNNNNNNNNNNNNNNNNNNNNNNNNNNNNNNNNNNNNNNNNNNNNNNNNNNNNNNNNNNNNNNNNNNNNNNNNNNNNNNNNNNNNNNNNNNNNNNNNNNNNNNNNNNNNNNNNNNNNNNNNNNNNNNNNNNNGACUACAUUCGUACGUAUAUGCGUCUUCAUGUGAGGCUCCAUCUGAAGUAUUAUACUGCUAUGAGUGAAUGCUUGAGCAUGUAUCGAUGUCAUAAAAUAUAACCUUGCGACGUUCCACACAUCUUGAAGGUAUAUUUGUCUUGCUGAUCACUAACAUACUAUAUACACUACAUCCAGCAGUACAAUCGUUGGAUUUAAAUACACAUGUGGCGACCACUGCGUUUGAUUCCAUAUUCUCUCCCACCCGAUUAUUGAACACGCAUCCCAGUACUGCACAUAGUGCUCGCAGUACAGCAACCUUAUAUUAUGAUAUGCAAUCUCCUCUCGGCUCUCGCCAACAACCAUCCCCUUUGCAAGCAUAUCACAUCUCACAUAUAAUAUACAGCAAAAUCCUGCAGCUAAAGACGACGACAUUCCUCUAACCAUGUGCAUCGAUCCGUAACAUAUAUUUCAUGCACUAUAGUAUCAUUUCCAUGACCACUCAACAGACCAGUUAGCUUAUUAGCUAGAUAGCUCGCUCGCGGACAACCCUUCAGUACACUUGUAGCUGUUAGACUCACUGACCAGACUUGUCCAUGGGAGCGCAACCAGCUCACGGGCAAGACAAACACAGUUGAGCUAGUGCAUCAAUGCAUCAUGCAGUCCUGUGCAAUUGAAACUUGCAUCUAUCCACGGAUGGUUCCAAGCUUGGUUGCUUUCUUUUUGUUCUUAAUAGUUCUAGCAGCUUUUGGGGCUAUACCUCAGAGCUCCUUUAAUUUGGUUUAAAACUUUAGAUAGUUUUUUCCAUCCUUCUUAUAUGUGCAUACGUUUCACAAAUUUUGCAAGAAAAAAAAACACAGUAGCUAGAGUAGAGUCCUACUGUUUGGACAAAAAAACAUCCGGGGCAGAUUACACGCUUUGAGCGAUCCGAAGUUCUGCAUGCAGCUGCCUAUCCAGGGAUGUGUAAGUAAGAUGCACCAGCUCAUGUACACAAGCUAAUAAGGCAUGCAGUAGUAGAUGCACUUACACCAUUGCAGAAAGCUUCUAUGGCCCCUUGCACCCUCUGGCCCUGGCCUAAUGGGGCAAGCAGCCAGCUGCUCAAUGCCAAGCAGAUGUUCAUAAAUCCCUCUGUAAAUGUCACCGUUGACAUCUAGCUAGCUCUACCUACUUGACUCCCUCGUGCAGGUAUUGCUCAGAGCAUGGUGCACUAUACUGGUGGUAACUGGACGUGACCAAUAUCUCUUCAUGUAGCUAACUGCUCUGCAGCUAGUUUCAUUGCGAGACUAUGACUUCUCUUGCAUAGAAGUUAACUCACCGGAUGGGCUUCUGGCGCCUUUUAUUCAAAGGUAGUGCAGUCCAAGGAUGGAAACAAAUCGAUCAUAGAUUAUAAGAGUGAUCAUUCAGGCCAGUACAAAGAAGAGAACGAUUACAACUUUACAAGAGUCUUUGGGUAUGUAUGUUACGGUUGGGAGAGGUAUUAGGAAGGAAACAAAAAGCUGCAUGGAGAAGAGAGAAGGGAAUAUGUGUGCUGUGGAGAAUGGAAUCAAACUAGUAUACUAGUCAUGCUGCCUGCGCUCCUGCUAGCUGCUAGCUAGCUGCAGGCGAUAUCAGUGCAAGCUGCAGUGGCAAUGGUGUAUCCUAGAGGGUGUUCUGCUGGCAUCACAUGCACGCGCAUGUGGUUUAAUUUUUAGUUCCACUGCUGGAAUGUGUCAGUGCAUGGCAGCUUAAUUUGUGGGCAGCGACGGGAAGAUGACAUCUUCCUCGUCACUUCCCAUGCAGUCGAGUCAGUUUGUGUCUACUCCAUUGUGAUCCUCCCUAAUAAUAUCUCUCUCGUUGUUGCUAGUACAAGCUGAUCAGGAUGACAUGCAAUGACACACACACACACACACACACACACACACACACACACACGCACAGAAACACACAACGAAUGCGCCAUAUGCAUGUGAACUAACUCAUCCAACAAAUAGGCUAAUUAAGCUAUUUGAGGACCAACACUACGAAGUUCUUUACACGUUUACUCUUUGCCACUUUACCACACCACGCCGCAUAUUAGUUAAGAUAAAGACGCCAGUGUACAUGUGCUUACAGAUUAAUUCGUUUUACACGACAGAUUCUCAAUAUUUGCUACUAUAUGGAAUUCCAUUAGUACACUAUAGGUGCUAAUGAAAAAUGAAUUACAUGUUUUUUCCUAUCCAUAUAUAGACUUAUUAUUAUGAAGCAUGCAUGAGGGAGUAAUUAGUUGUGAGCUUAGUUCAACAGUCAUAUAUUGAAAAAAAUUCUUUCAAUAAAGGGCAUUUUUAUUGACUUGUAAUAUAGCAUCAAGGGGAUACAAAUAAAAUGAUCAAGUAGGCACACAAUCUCUGCACGAUUAGGAUGCACACAUUUAACACCAACGCACACACACACAAAGGAUUAUGUCGGCAUAAAGCAAAAUCAUACAAGACCAAAGCUAUGCACAGACGAAAGAAAAAUACAAAGAAGAAAGGAAAAAAAAUAGCAACGAUGAUCCAUGCCAAGCAGCUGCUGACCCAACGAAGAUGAUGACAAGAGUCAGAAACAUUUCUGCCAUUUACGCAGGGGAUUGCAUGCAAGUGCAACCGCUAGUAGUGCGACGUUUUUGCAAAAUGCUUGAAGAUAAAGGUAGUCCGAUGAAACAACUAGGUGAACAAAUAUAAGCCAUACACAGGAAAAAUGACAUUGAAUUUCACACAUGUAUGCAAGUAAGCUCUUGAUUUUGAGUUCAACCCCCUGAUACAAAAUAUGACAAAUCAGUUGAGAUGAUGCUUCCUCUAGAGUACACCUUUAGACAUUUGCAAAGAGAAUUGACUUGCCCAAAUCAAUUAAAUCGACCGAAAUAAGAUUAAAAAAUGUAAAUAGCUCAAGCCAACGUUUCUACAGAGCAAGAAGAACAAAUAACUAAAUACAAGCGCUUGUACAAUGUUGUAGAAAUAAACAGGCAGAUGGAAUCACGGGCUCUAGUAUAGUUUUGGAUAGUCUCAAAGCCUAAGCUCAAGAUCUAGUUCCUCGGCCGGGGUGCUAGGACAAAGCUUAAGUACCUUCACACGACGAUUAUCAUCGUCGCCAUCAUCACGAGGAUCAUCACGUUGCAGAUGCUCACUAGAGGAAGAAUAAAGAACGAACUCGGUAGCCUCUAGAUCAAUCCUCCUCCUCUUGCGACAUAGAUGAACAAUCCUUUCAUCGUCUUCUUUAUCAUCUUCAAAGACACUUCUUGUUCGGCGGCCCAAAAGACCCAGCUUCAGCUCGCCACCCCCAACACGCAGUUCUUGCUCUGAACGUACCUCGGCAUCGUGAAGAAACACCUCUUUCUCACCAUGGUCUUGGGUGUCUGAUGGGGACACGAGAGGGGCGGCCAAGACUUGUUUGCCCCAAAUGGUUCUUGCAGUCGCAGCAUCCACCAACGAUCUCCCUGGAUCCGAAAGAAAACUGCGUACUGAAUUAGGGUUAGCUUCUGUGCUUGGAGCACUAGGUCUUGGAGGAGGGCACGGCAGCGGCUGGAUCAUGUAGCCUUGGUGCAGAGGCAUGCCAUGGACGUCGACGCCGCCCCCCUCCUCCACCAUCCCGGAGAGCUUGAGCCUGGCCCGGUCCCUCCGGUGGACGUUCAUGUGCCCACCGAGGGCCUGCGCAGACCGGAACUCUCGGCCGCAGAAGCUGCACGAGUAGGAUCUCGGCGGCCAGAUGCAGCCCCCGAGGCUCCCCGCGGAGUCCUGGGCGAACGCGCGCUCCUCCCACGACUCGUAGUAGGUGGCCGAGGAAGUGCCGCCGCCGCUGCCGACGGUGACGUGCGGCGUGCUGAAGACGGCAGGCGCCUUCUGAUCACCCUGCUUUCUCCUGGUUAUCAUCCAGUACUUUGCUGGAUCCAUGAGAUGACGCUCCUAGCUACCAGCUACGACUCCUCUUGACUACUACAAGUGCUCUGGGAUGUCAAGGAUGUCAAGACCAUGGGAGGUGCUUGAUGGCGGAGAGGUGGGUGGUCGGAGUCUAAGAUGAAGCAGGACAAGAGUACAUAUCAAAUCUACAGGUGUGAGAGGAAGCCGGAGGGAAGGGAGAAGCUGCAAGGGUUGCUUGAUUUGCUUGCCUUUACGGAUGCAAGCAACCUGACUCACCUUUCGUUGUCUGUAGUACCCUAGUGGGUCCUGGCCCUAUCUUUUCUUCACACAUCCAGUUUGUCACAGGAAGUGUGACUGUUUCUGAAACGAAAAGUGGCAUCUUAUUCAAAUCCCAGAUCAGUGUUAAUUUGGUAGCUAGUGCAACUAGUUACAAGGUUUAACGAUAUUUAACCUGAGUGCUGCACGGCAACGAAAGGGGUGGUAUCCGUCUCUAUCUAGUCUUUGAUGGCGAUACUUGACUGGGUGUCAAUAAUUGCAAGCAAAGCUUAUUUCCGCUAAUUACGGUCACUGCCACAUACUGUUAUAAACAGCUUAAUCCAGUCUAGCACCAGGGGUUUGAUACCCCAGGAGUUGGUGGUCGAAACCAUGUUGGGUGGGAGCGAUGAAACUCGAAAUCAUGAAAGUCGGAUCCAUGAUCCAAGACUAGGGGUUCGUUACCCUCGAAGCAAGAAAUGUCGGAAUGCCCAUGUUGGCCGGGAAGAAUGAUGCUUAGAAUCAUGAAAGUUAGAUCCAUGAUCCAUGACUAGGGAUUUGAUACUCCGGAAGUCGGAAAGGUCGAAAUGCCCAUGUUGGCUGGGACAGUUGAUGCGCGGAUCGGAUCCAUGAUCCAAGACCAAGGAUUCAAGAUCCCUGAUGUUGGUUCGGUUGGAUGACCAAGUUGGCCCGGUCGGUUUUCUACGAAAUGAGAAUAGUCGGAUCCAUGAGCCAAGACCAGGGGUUUGAUACCACGGAAGUUGGAAAGGUCGAAAUGACAUGUUGGAUGUGGCAGAUGAUUCCCAGAAUUAUGGAAUCGAAUCCAUGAUACAAGAACAGGGGAUCAACUCUGGAAUUCAGAUUGGUCCAAAUUCCCAUGUUGGCUAGGAGGGAUAAUCCUCGAAAUCAUGAAAGUUGGAUCCAUGAUCUAAUACUAGGGGUUCGAGACACUCAGAAUUGUUCGGUUCAAUGACCAAGUUGGCCCAAUCAGAUGUUUGAUGAUUUGAUAAAGUCAUAUCCAUGCUCUAUGGCUAGGGGCUCGAGGCCCCAGAUGCUAGUUCAGUGGGACACCUGAGUUUGUCCAAUCGGUUGUGCUAGAAGUGAUAAAAGUAUGAUCUAUGACCCAUGACUUAGGGAAUGAUACCCAUGGGUUGGGACAACUGGUAGCCACAGAAAUGGACCAGCUGGUUAUCUAGAAAGGUUUUGGAGGAGUGCGAAAAAUCAUAAAGUGGAUGCGCCGCCCAGGAAAGAAGAGAUGAAGGGCCCCACAUCUUGAGGUCACCCUGGACCAGGCGGAUGGUUUGAGAGUCCUGGCCAAAAUAGAAGCCUUGAGAGGUGGGAUCCUCGACCUAGGUGUUGAGACGACAACAACAAGAACAUGACCCCUUCACACCAACAUGAUGAAGAAGAUGAAAUUCAAAGGAACGCCAUGAUACGUCUCAAAUGUAUAUAUAACUUUUGCUUAUUUGAUGCUACUUUUAUAUCAUAAUUGCAUAGAUUUGGCACAGAUUAAUUCAAUGCCCAGAGCUAUUUGUUGUUUUCUAUUGUCUAGGAAACUCAAUUUUCCAGGGACAAAAAAAUCAACAAAAAUACGUUGUAAAGUUUCACGUAAGGAUGAACCCAAAGGCACUUGUGCGCACCUAGGGGUUGUUGUCCCCACACGCCAUGCUGGCAUGGCCAGUUGGCACGUGGUAGGGCCGCAUGGGUAGCCCCCUCCCCACCGCUUUCCCACUACACCUGGGUGCAUGUGCCUUUAUAUUUUUUCGAAAGCCCUUGUCGAAUUUAUCAAGGUUUUUUCUGCCGUUGCACCUCUCUGUUCUACCAUGAUCCAACUGGAGGCUUGUUAUGGUACUCUACCGGAGGUGGAAUCCAUCACCGAAGCUACAUUCAUCAACCCUGAUGACACCAUGACCAUGUCUGAGUUGUCCUUCAUGGACUAUGGUCCAUAGUAACAGCUAUACUGCAUCUUCUCUCCCUAGUUCUUCAAUACAAACAUCUCAUGAGCUGCGAUGUUUAGAUGCUCUAGGUCAAUUUAAUGUAAUACUCCGUUUUACUUAAUACUUUGAAAUGCAUACUAGAUAGCGGUCUUGGGGAGAAGUAUUAGCUAUAGAUGCAAUUGGAUAAUGGUCUAUAGAUAUAGGGACGUAAUGCCUAUAUGCAAUCAUGUCAUGAAUGAUCAAAAGUUUGCUUUUCUGCUUUCCAAAUAACUCAAAAAUACCAAAAAUAUCGAAAUUUCAGCAUGUUAGCAACUCUAUUGGCACAUAAAGGAAAUAAAAGUUAUCUUCCAAACUUUUGAAAAAUCUUACAUACUUAGAACCAAUGGCUAAUAAUGAAAAAGAUAAAUAAGAAAAUUUUAUUGGGUUGUUCUCAGCAAAUACUAAGUAUAAUUGGGAUAUACACGAUAAACUUUAUGAUUAGUGAUGAAGAUGUUGAAUUUUAUGAUGGAGGAAAUUUGAUGAUUUUACGGUGACACUAUGUUUGUAGGCACUAUGGAGGAUGAUUAUGUUAUGCCUUCUACUUGGUAUAAUCAUCAUGAUUGGGGAGGCAAUUAUGACACCUCUUGUGGCCUUAAAAUUUACUUGAGACCUAUGAUGAAUCUAUAAUUGAUAAAAAAUAUCAUUAAAAGGGGCUUGGAGAGGUCAUACCUUUAGGUAGUGAUGAUCGUACUAAUUUGGAGAGUGUUCAGUAUGGUUGCAAUAUUAAUAAAAUUGGGUUUGAACAGGUCAUAACUUUAGUUACUAUUGAUCCCACUAUUUGGAGAGUGAUAAAUGAAUGUGGAUAAUUAGGAAAGUUGCGUAGGUGAUAGCUAUAUUAUUGACUUUGAUUAUGAUCCCACAUGCAAUUACUCUGAGAGAGGGAAGUAUGACCAUAGAAAUCUUCAUACAAAUAAAUAACCUCUCUUUAUGUUGAAAGAUUUAAAGUUUCACUCUUCUCUCUUGCCUAUGCUAGGGAUUGCUUGUCCCAAUGAUUCGUUUACUUAUAAUAUGCAUAUGCAUAGGAAGUGUGUUAGACUUAAAUAUGAUUGGUAUAUGCUUUUUGAUGCUUUCUUUUAUGCUUCAAUCAUAUUUUCAUGUGAGCAUCAUUAAAAUAUUAAGCCUAUCUUAAUGGCUAUGAAGAAAGAGCUUGCGAGAGACAACCCAUAAUUAUCCUUAAUAAAGUUUUUACUUACUGUGGCAACACUCUUUUUUAUGUAUGUUUUCAAUAAAGUGCCAGGGAUAGCCUUUAGCAUGUUAAGUUUGCACAUUCGUGUGUUGUUGUGCUGAAACAGGAAUUUUUCUGCUACUAAAAACAGCAACCAGUAGUUGAUAAAGUUACAAAAUUUUAACACGGUACACAUACAUGAGUUCUCUGUUAAGUGCUAAUUUUAAGAAUUUUUGAGUUAUAGAUGUAUGAAAAAAAUAUUUCUUUUCUGACAGCUCUAUUUUGACAUAUUUCUGCUAUAGAUUCCUUUAACUGUGUAUGUUUGCAUUCUAUUGGUCCUAUAGUGGUGUGAGAAUUUUAAAACGGUGUUAACAUAUAGUGGAAAAGGUUGAAUUGUAAUUAUUUUAUGGAUCUACAACAAAUCUUCAUAAGAAUUAAGUUUUUUAUACUAACCCUCCUGGCAAGUUAUAUGAAAGUUUUGUGUGGAUGAAGUUUUUAAGACUUAGGUGAGAUAGUGAUAUGAGAAGAAUAAGGAGAUGAAGCGCUAAAGCUUGGGGAUGCUCAAGGCAGCCAAAGGGAUAUUCAGGAAUAUUCAGGAAUUCUCAAGCAUCUAAGCUUAGGGAGGCCCCAAGUCACCCCCCUUCUUCAUCAACAAUUAUCAGUUUGUCUCGGUUGGACCUAUUUUUAUUUGUUCACAUGGUAUCUGUUACUGUUGGAGCAUCAUUUUGUUUUCUUUUUUGUUUUUUCUUGCUGAUAUUAAACAAUCAUCACAUCAAAACAAAUUUACUAUGGAGGGCUUUACAUGGUUAUGUAUUUAGAAUUGCUCUUUUGCUUCACUUAUAUUUGUUAGAGCAUGACAGAAUCCAAUUAAUAAAUGGAAAUCUCUUGCUUCACUUAUAUCUUUUUGGAGAGUUGGAUAGUAAUUGGUUGUCAGCAUGGAUUAAUAUGUUGAUACUAAAAUUUAUAAGCAUGCAAUUGUGGUAUAAAUGAAAACUUGUGUGAGCUAUUUGUAAAGGUUAUAAACUUGAGAAUUGGAUUCUUUGCAAUUCUUUUGAGAUAAUGAGGUAAUAAUAGAUGAACAUGUUGGUAAAUAGUUGGCGCUUAUCAGUGAUAGGUGUUGUUAAUGGUGGAUCAUGGUGCGUGUCUUUCAUUAGUCAACCUAAGUUGGGAAAUAUGCUGCUCGCAUCAAUCCACAUCGAAGUGGUAGUUGUAACUAAGCAUGUGACUUUGGUUUAGGAUUUAUUCUGCUAAAGUACUCCCCCAUUCUUUGUUGAUGCCAUAAAACUUGUAAUAAGAAUUUGAGUUUUUCAUGUGUAUUUUCCGGUUGGAACUUUUUAUGCACUUCUACUCUAUCCAUAUUUGCUAGCCUAUUCGGUGUUGAGCAUUGAUACGUCUCCAUCAUAUCUACUUUUCCAAAUUCUUUUGCCCUUGUUUUGGACUCUAAUUUGCAUGAUUUGAAUGGAACUAAUCCGGACUGACACUGUUUUCAGCAGAAUUACCAUGGUGUUAUUUUUGUGUAGAAAUAAAAGUUCAUGGAUUGGCAUGAAAAUUUACGAAGAAUUUUUGUGGAAUAUAUAAAAAAUACUGGUGCAAGAAUUAACCAGAGGGGGUCCACCUAGAGGCCACAAGCUUGGGGGCACGCCUAGAGGGCUUAUGGCCCCCCUAGACCUCCUCUGACCCUAACUCCAACUCUAUAUAACCCUAUUCGGGGAGAAAAAUCAGAGAGAAGGAUUCGUCCUGUUUUACGAUAUGGAGCCGCCGCCUCCUGUUCUUCAUCGGGAGGGCUGAUCUGGAGUCCGUUCGGGGCUCCAGAGAGGGGGAUUCGUCGCCAUCGUCAUCAUCAACCUUCUCCAUCACCAAUUUCAUGAUGCUCACCGCCGUGCGUGAGUAAUUCCAUCAUAGGCUUGCUGGACGGUGAUGGGUUGGAUGAGAUUUAUCAUGUAAUCGAGUUAGUUUUGUUAGGGUUUGACCCCUAGUAUCCACUAUGUUAUGAGAUUGAUGUUGCUAUGACUUUGCUAUGCCUAAUGCUUGUCACUAGGGCCCGAGUGCCAUGAUUUCAGAUCUAAACCUAUUAUGUUUUCAUGAAUAUAUUUAUGUUCUUGAUCUUAUGCAAGUUGUAGACACAUAUUAUGAAUUAUGAUCCGCAUGCUCCAAGGUGACAAUAAUUGGGAUUCUUUUCGGUGAUUACUGUAGUUUGAGGAGUUCAUGUAUUCACUAAGGGCUAAUGCUUUGUUUCGGUUCUCUAUUAAAAGGAUGCCUUAAUAUCCCUCAGUUUCCAUUAGGACCCCGCUGCCACGGGAGGGUUGGACAAAAGAUGUCAUUCAAGUUCUUUUUCAUAAGCACGUAUGACUAUAUACGGAAUACAUGCCUACAUUAUAUUGAUGAAUUGGAGCUAGUUCUGUGUCACCCUAGGUUGUGACUGCUACAUGAUGAAUCAUCCAACACAAUUAUCAUUGCUGAUCCAAUGCCUACGAGAUUUUCACAUAUUGAUCUUUGCUAAGUUACUUUCAUUGCUAUUGCUGUUACAAUCACUACAAAACUGCUACUGUUACUUUUGCCAUCAUUACCGUUACUUCCAUACUACUUUGCUACUAAAUACUUUCCUGCAGAUAUUAAAUCUGUCAGGUGUGGUUGAAUUCACAACUCAACUACUAAUACUCGUGAAUAUUCUUUGGCUCCCCUUGUAUCGAAUCAAUAAAUUUGGGUUGAAUACUCUACCCUCGAAAACUGUUGCGAUCCCCUAUACUUGUGGGUUAUCAAGACCUUUUUCUGGCGCCGUUGCCGGGGAGCAUAGCUCUGUUCUCCGAGUCACUUGGGAUUUAUAUCUUUUGAUCACUAUGAAGAAUUUGAAAGAUACCAAAACCAAGAUUUUUCCCUCUAGGACGAGGGGCGGCAAGGAACUGCCAUCUAGCUCUACACUUGAUUCACCUUUAGUUUUGAGUAAUCUUGCGACACCUACAUCUGCUAUUGAUUUUGAUAUGUUGCAAGUAAUUGAUGAUGCCACUUCUGCUAUGCAUGAUGCUUAUGAUGAUACUACUACUUUGCUUGAUAAUACUUUGCCACUGGGUGAAUUUCUUGAUGAACAACUUGCUAGAGCUAAAGAUAUUGAGAGUUGAAAUUGAUGAUAUCUUUGGAACUGAUGAAAUUAUUGAAACUAAACACUUUAAAACACCUGCUAGACCUAGCUCUCCUAAUAUGAAUUUCCUGUUAUACCUAAGGGUUAUGUUAUGGAUGGAGAGGUAGCUAGGGACUUUCUUGCUUGUAAAGAUAGAGAGGAUCUUAAUGAAGGAAAUAUGCCCUAGAGGCAAUAAUAAAGUUGUUAUUUAUAUUUCCUUAUAUCAUGAUAAAUGUUUAUUAUUCAUGCUAGAAUUGUAUUAACCGGAAACUUAGUACAUGUGUGAAUACAUAGACAAACAGAGUGUGACUAGUAUGCCUCUACUUGACUAGCUCAUUGAAUCAAAGAUGGUUAAGUUUCCUAGCCAUAGACAUGAGUUGUCAUUUGAUUAAUGGGAUCACAUCAUUAGAGAAUGAUGUGAUUGACUUGACCCAUUCCGUUAGCUUAGCAUUCGAUCGUUUAGUAUAUUGCUAUUGCUUUCUUCAUGACUUAUACAUGUUCCUAUGACUAUGAGAUUAUGCAACUCCCGAAUACCGGAGGAAGACUUUGUGUGCUACCAAACGUCACAACGUAACUGGGUGAUUAUAAAGGUGCUCUAUAGGUGUGUCCGAUGGUACUUCUUGAGUUGGCAUAGAUCAAGAUUAGGGUUUGUCACUCCGAUUGUCGGAGAGGUAUCUCUAGGCCCUCUCGGUAAUGCACAUCACUAUAAGCCUUGAAAGCAAUGCACUAAUGAGUUAGUUGCGGGAUGAUGUAUUACGAAAUGAGUAAAGAGACUUGCCGGUAAUGAUAUUGAGGUAGGUAUUGACAUACCGACGAUCGAAUCUCGGGCAAGUAACAUACCGAUGAUAAAGGGAACAACGUAUGUUGUUAUGCGGUUUGAUCGAUAAAGAUCUUCAUAGAAUAUGUAGGAGCCAAUAUGAGCAUCCAGGUUCUGCUAUUGGUUAUUGACCGGAGACAUGUCUCGGUCAUGUCUACAUAGUUCUCGAACCCGUAGGGUCCGCACGCUUAAAGUUCGGUGACGAUCGGUAUUAUGAGUUUGUGUGUUUUGAUGUACCGAAGGUAGUUAGGAGUCCCGGAUGAGAUCAGGGACAUGACGAGGAGUCUCGAAAUGGUCGAGACAUAAAGAUGAAUAUAUUGGACGACUAUAUUCGGACAUCGGAAAGGUUCCGAGUGAUCCGGGUAUUUUUCGGAGUACCGGGGGAGUUACGGGAAUACGGGCGUACAUAUGGGCCUUAGUGGGCUUUAAGGGAAAAGAGGAGAAGCCACGAGGGCUAGGCACGCGCCCCCCAUGGGCCUAGUCCGAAUUCGACUAGGGGAGGGGCUGCGCCCCCUCUUUCCUUCUCCUCCCCUUCUUCUUCCUUCCCCUCCUAGUAGGACUAGGAAAUGAGGAAUCCUAGUCCUACUAGGAGGAGGAUUCCUCCCCCCUUUGGCGCGCCUAGAGAGGCCGACCGGCCUCCCCUUGCUCCUUUAUAUACGGGGGCAGGGGCACCCCAUGGACACACAAGUUGAUUGUUCCAAGCCGUGUGCGGUGCCCCCCUCCAUCAUAAUCCACCUCGAUCAUAUCGUAGAGGUGCUUAGGUGAAGCCCUGCGUCGGUAGCAACAUCAUCACCGUCAUCACGCCGUCGUGCUGACGGAACUCUCCCGUGAAGCUCUGCUGUAUCGGAGUUCGUGGGACAUCAUCGAGCUGAACGUGUGCUGAACUCGAAGGUGCCGUACGUUCGGUACUUGGAUCGGUCGAAUCGUGAAGAUGUACGACUACAUCAACCGCGUUCUCAUAACGCUUCUGCUUACGGUCUACAAGGGUACAUGGAGAAUACUCUCCCCUCUCGUUGCUAUGCAUCACCAUGAUCUUGCGUGUGCGUAGGAAUUUUUUUUGAAAUUACUACGUUGUGCAACAGUGGCAUCCGAGCCAGGUUUUAUGCGUAGAUGUUAUAUGCACGAGUAGAACACAAGUGAGUUGUGGAUGAUAAAAGUCAUACUGCUUAGCAGCAUGUCACACUUUGGUUCGGCGGUAUUAUUGGAUGAAGCAACCCGGACCGACAUUACGCGUACGCUUACGCAAGACUGGUUCUACCGACGUGCUUUGCACACAGGUGGCUGGCGGGUGUCAGUUUCUCCAACUUUAGUUGAACCGAGUGUGGCUAUGCCCGGUCCUUGCGAAGGUUAAAACAACACUAACUUGACGAACUAUCGUUGUGGUUUUGAUGCGUAGGUAAGAACGGUUCUUGCUCAGCCCGUAGCAGCCACGUAAAACUUGCAACAACAAAGUAGAGGACAUCUAAGUUCUUUUUGCCGGGCUUGUUGUGAUGUGAUAUGGUCAAGACGUGAUGAGAUAUAAGUUGUUGUAUGAGAUGAUCAUGUUUUGUUGAAGUUAUCGGCAACUGGCAGAAGCCUUAUGGUUGUCUCUUUAUUGCAUAAGAUGCAAGCGCCAAAUAAUUGCUUUACUUUAUCGCUAUGCGAUAGCAAUAGUUGCAAGAGCAAUAGUUGGCGAGACGACCAUGUGAUGGCAUGUUGAUAGAGAUCAAGAUGAUGGAGAUCAUGGUGUCAUGCCGGUAACGAUAGAGAUCAUGACGGUACUUUGGGGAUGGAGAUCAAAGGCACAAGAUGAUCAUGGCCAUAUCAUGUCACAUAUUUUGAUUGCAUGUGAUGUUUAUCUUUUAUUCAUCUUAAUUUGCUUAGUUCUACGGUAGCUUUAUAAGAUGAUCUCUCACUAAAUUUCAAGGUAAAAGUGUUCUCCCUGAGUAUGCACCGUUGCCAAAGUUCGUCGUGCUGAGACACCACGUGAUGAUCGGGUGUGAUAAGCUCCACGUUCAUCUACAACGGGUGUAAGACAGUUUUGCACAUGCAAAAUACUCGGGUUAAACUUGACGAUCCUAGCAUAUGCAGAUAUGGCCUCGGAACACUGGAGACCGAAAGGUCGAGCGUGAAUCAUAUAGUAGAUAUGAUCAACAUAGUGAUGUUCACUAUUGUAAACUACUCCAUCUCACGUGAUGAUCGGACAUGGUUUAGUUGAUAUGGAUCACGUGAUCACUUAGAUGAUUAGAGGGAUGUCUAUCUAAGUAGGAGUUCUUAAGUAAUAUGAUUAAUUGAACUUAAAUUUAUCAUGAACUUAGUCCUGAUAGUAUUUGCAUAUCUAUGUUGUAGAUCAAUAGCUCGCACAUAGCUUCCCCGUUUAUUUUUGAUAUGUUCCUAAAGAAAAAUAAAUUGAAAGAUGUUAGUAGCAAUGAUGCGGAUUGGCUCCGUGAUCUGAGGAUUACCCUCAUUGCUGCACAGAAGAAUUAUGUCCUUGAUGCACCGCUAGGUGACGGACCUAUUGUAGGAGCAUAUGCAUACGUUAUGAACGUUUGGCAAAGCUCGGUAUGAUGACUACUUGAUAGUUUAGUGCACCAUGCUUUAUGGCUUAGAACCGGGAUUUCAAAAAUGUUUUGAACGCUGCAGAGCAUAUAAGAUGCUCCAAGAGUUGAAAUUAGUGUUUCAUACUCAUGCCCGUGUCAAGAGGUAGGAGACCUCUGACAGUACUUUGCCUACAAAGAUGGAGGAGAAUAGAUCAACCAGUGAGCAUGUGCUCAGAUUGUAUGGUACUGCAAUUUAUUGAAUCAAGUGGGAGUUAAUCUUCCAGAUAAGAUAGUAAUUGACAAAGUUCUCUAGUCACUAUCACCAAGUUACUAGAACUAAGUGAUGAACUAUAAUAUGCAAGGGAUAACGGAAACGAUUCCCAAGCUCUUCGUGAUGCAGAAAUCGACGAAGGUGGAAAUCAAGAAAAGCAUCAAGUGUUGAUGGUUGACAAGACCACUAGUUUGAAGAAAAGGGCAAAGGGAAGAAGGAGAACUUCAAGAAGAAUGGAAAACAAGUUGCUGCUCAAGUGAAGAAGCCCAAGUCUAGAUCUAAGCUUGAGACUAAGUGCUUCUACUGCAAAGGGACUGGUCACUGGAAGCAGAAUUGCCCCAAGUAUUUGGCGGAUAAGAAGGAUGACAAAGUGAACAAAGGUAUAUUUGAUAUACAUGUUAUUGAUGUGUACUUUACUAGUGUUUAUAGCAACCCCUUAGUAUUUGAUACUAGUUCAGCUGCCAAGAUUAGUAACUCGAAAUGGGAGUUGUAGAAUGAACAGAAACUAGUUUAAGGGUGAAGUGACGAUGUGUGUUGGAAGUAGUUCCAAGAUUGAUAUGAUCAUCAUCGCACACUCCCUAUACUUUUGGGAUUAGUGUUGAACCUAAAUAAGUGUUAUUUGGUGUUUGCGUUGAGCAUGAAUAUGAUUUGAUCAUGUUUAUUGCAAUACGGUUAUUCAUUUAAGUUAGAGAAUAAUUGUUGUUCUGUUUACAUGAAUAAAACCAUAUAUGGUCAUACACCCAAUGAAAAUGGUUUGUCGGAUCUCGAUCGUAGUGAUACACAUAUUCAUAAUAUUGAAGCCAAAAGAUGCAAAGUUAAUAAUGAUAGUGCAACUUAUUUCUGGCACUGUCGUUUAGGUCAUAUUGGUGUAAAGCGCAUGAAGAAACUCCAUGCUGAUGGGCUUUUGGAAUAACUUGAUUAUGAAUCACUUGAUGCUUGCGAACCAUGCCUCAUGGGCAAGAUGACUAAAACUCCAUUCUCCGGAACAAUGGAGCAAGCAACUGACUUAUUGGAAAUAAUACAUACUGAUGUAUGCAAUCCGAUGAGUGUUGAGGCUCGCGGCGGGUAUCGUUAUUUUCUGAUCUUCAUAGAUGAUUUGAGCAUAUAUGGGUAUAUCUACUUGAUGAAACAUAAGUCUGAAAAACAUUUGGAAAGUUCAAAGAGUUUUAGAGUGAAGUGGAAAAUCAUCGUAACAAGAAAAUAAAAUUUCUACAAUCUGAUCGUAGAGGAGAAUAUUUCAAUUACGAGUUUCGUCUUCAUUUGAAACAAUGUGGAAUAGUUUCGCAACUCAUGCCACCUAGAACACCAUAGUGUAAUGGUGUGUCCGAAUGUCGUAUCGCACUUUACUAGAUAUGGUGUGAUCUAUGAUGUCUCUUACUGAUUUACCGCUAUCGUUUUGGGGUUAUGCAUUAGAGACAGUUGCAUUCACGUUAAAUAGGGCACCAUCUAAAUCCGUUGAGAUGACACAGUAUGAACUAUGGUUUGGCAAGAAACAAAAGCUGUCAUUUCUUAAAGUUUGGGGUUGCGAUGCUUAUGUGAAAAAGUUUCAAAUUGAUAAGCUCGAACCCAAAUCAGAGUAGUGCGUCUUCAUAGGAUACGCAAAAAGAAACUGUUGGGUACACCUUCUAUCACAGAUCCGAAGGCAAGACAUUUGUUGCUAAUAAUGGAUCCUUUCUAGGGAAGGAAUUUCUCUUGAAAGAAGUGAGUGGGAGGAAAGUAGAACUUGAUAAGGUAAUUGUACCUUCUCCCGAAUUGGAAAGUAGUUCAUCACAGAAAUCAGUUCUAGUGAUUCCUAUACCAAUUAGUGAGGAAGCUAAUGAUGAUGAUCAUGAAACUUCAGAUCAAGUUACUACCGAACCUCGUAGGUCAACCAGAGUACGGUCCGCACCAGUGUGGUACGAUAAUCCCGUUCUGGAAGUCAUAUUACUAGACCAUGACGAACCUACAAACUAUGAGGAAGCAAUGAUGAGCCCAGAUUCCACAAAAUGGCUUGAGGCUAUGAAAUCUGAGAUGUGAUCCAUGUAUGAGAACAAAGUAUGGACUUUGAUUGACUUGCCCGUUGAUCGGUGAGUCAUUGAGAAUAAAUGGAUCUGCAAGAGGAAGACAUAUGUUGAUAGUAGUGUUACUAUCUACAAAGCUCGAAUUGUCGCAAAAUGUUUUUGACAAGUUCAAGGUGUAGACUACGAUGAGAUUUUCUCACUCGUAUCGAUGCUUAAAAGUCUGUCCGAAUCAUGUUAGCAGUUGCCGCAUUUUAUGAAAUCUGGCAAAUGGAUGUGAAAACUGCAUUCUUUAAUGGAUUUCUCAAAGAAGGGUUGUAUAUGAUGCAACCAGAAGGUUUUGUCGAUCCUAAAGGUGUUAACAAAGUGAGCAAGCUCCAGCGAUCCAUCUAUGGACUGGUGCAAGCAUCUCGGAGUUGGAAUAUAUGCUUUGAUAAAGUGAUCAAAGAACAUUGUUUUAUACAGACUUGCGGUGAAGCCUGUAUUUACAAGAAAGUGAGUGGGAGCACUAUAGCAUUUCUGAUAAGUAUAUGUGAAUGACAUAUUGUUGAUCGGAAAUAAUGUAGAAUUUUUUGGAAAGCAUGAAGGAGUGUUUGAAAGGAUUUUUUGAAGAAAGAUCUUGGAGAAGCUACUUACAUAUUGAGCAUCAAGAUCUAUAGAGAUAGAUCAAGACGCUUGAUAUAUUUUCAAUGAGUACAUACCUUGACAAGAUUUUGAAGUAGUUCAAAACAGAACAUUCAAAGAAGGAGUUCUUGCCUAUGUUGCAAGGUGUGAAGUUGAGUAAAGACUCAAAAACCCGACCACAGUAGAAAAUAGAAAGAUAAUGAAAAGUCAUUCCCUAUGCCUUAGUCAUAGGUUCUAUAAAGUAUGCCAUGCUGUGUACCAGACCAAUUGUGUACCUCACCAUAAGUUUGGCAAGAGGGUACAAUAGUGAUCCAGGAAUGGAUCACUAGACAGCAGUCAAAAAUAUCCUUAGUGGAAUAAGGAAAUGUUUCUCGGUUAUGGAAGUGACAAAGAGUUCGUCGUAAAGAGUUAUGUCGAUGCAAGCUUUGACACCGAUCUGGAUGACUAAGUAUCGAUCUAGAUACAUAUUGAAAGUGGGAGCAAUUAGCUAGAGUAGCUCCGUGCAAAGCAUUGCAGACAUAGAAAAUUUGCAAAACACAUACGGCUCUGAAUGUGGCAGACCCGUUGACUAAAUUUCUCUCACAAGCAAAACAUGAUCACUCUUUGGGUGUUAAUCACAUAGCGAUGUGAACUAGAUUAUCGACUCUAGUAAACCCUUUGGGUGUUAGUCACAUGGAGAUGUGAACUAAUCACAUAAAGAUGUGAAAUAUUGGUGUUAAAUCACAUAACGAUGUGAACUAGAUUAUUGACUCUAGUGCAAAUGGGAGACUGAAGGAAAUAUGCCCUAGAGGCAAUAAUAAAGUUGUUAUUUAUAUUUCCUUAUAUCAUGAUAAAUGUUUAUUAUUCAUGCUAGAAUUGUAUUAACCGAAAACUUAGUACAUGUGUGAAUACAUAGACAAACAGAGUGUCACUAGUAUGCCUCUACUUGACUAGCUCGUUGAAUCAAAGAUGGUUAAGUUUCCUAGCCAUAGGCUUGAGUUGUCAUUUGAUUAACGGCAUCACAUCAUUAGAGAAUGAUGUGAUUGACAUGACCAUUCCGUUAGCUUAGCAUUUGAUCGUUUAGUAUAUUGGUAUUGCUUUCUUCAUGACUUAUACAUGUUCCUAUGACUAUGAGAUUAUGCAACUCCCGAAUACCGGAGGAACACUUUGUGUGCUACCAAACGUCACAACGUAACUGAGUGAUUAUAAAGGUGCUCUACAGGUGUCUCCGAUGGUACUUGUUGAGUUGGCAUAGAUCAAGAUUAGGAUUUGUCACUCCGAUUGUCAGAGAGGUAUCUCUGGGCCCUCUCAGUAAUGCACAUCACUAUAAGCCUUGCAAGCAAUGCAACUAAUGAGUUAAUUGCGGGAUGAUGCAUUACAGAACGAGUAAAGAGACUUGCCGGUAAUGAGAGUGAGCUAGGUAUUGAGAUAUCGACGAUCGAAUCUCAGGCAAGUAACAUACCGAUGACAAAGGGGACAACGUAUGUUGUUAUGCGGUUUGACCGAUAAAGAUCUUCGUAGAAUAUGUAGGAGCCAAUAUGAGCAUCUAGGUUCUGCUAUUGGUUAUUGACCGAAGACAUGUCUCAGUCAUGUCUACAUAGUUCUCGAACCCGUAGGGUCCGCACGCUUAAAGUUCGGUGACGAACGGUAUUAUGAGUUUAUGUGUUUUGAUGUACCGAAGGUAGUUUGGAGUCCCGGAUGAGAUCGGCAACAUGACAAGGAGUCUCAAAAUGGCCGAGACGUAAAGAUUGAUAUAUUGGACGACUAUAUUCGGACAUCGGAAAGGUUUCGAGUGAUACGGAUAUUUCUCGGAGUACCGGGGGAGUUACGGGAAUACGGGAGUACAUAUGGGCCUUAGUGGGCUUUAAGGGAAAAAGAGGAGAAGCCACGAGGGCUAGCCGCGCGCCCCCAUGGGCCUAGUCCGAAUUGGACUAGGGGAGGGGUUGUGCCCCCUCUUUCCUUCUCCUCCCCUUCUCCCUCCUUCCCUCCUAGUAGGACUAGGAAAGGAGGAAUUAUACUCCUAUUAGGAGGAGGAUUCCUCCCCCUUUGGCGCGCCUAGAGAGGCCGGCUGGCCUCCCCUUGCUCCUUUAUAUAUGGGGGCACCCCAUAGACACACAAGUUGAUUGUUCCAAACCGUGUGUGGUGCCCCCUCCACCAUAAUCCACCUCGAUCAUAUCGUAGUGGUGCUUUGGCGAAGCCCUGAGUCGGUAGCAACAUCAUCACCGUCAUCACGUCAUCGUGCUGACGGAACUCUCCCGUGAAGCUCUGCUGGACCGGAGUUCAUGGGACGUCAUCGAGCUGAACGUGUGCUGAACUUGGAGGUGCCGUACGUUCGGUACUUGGAUCGGUCGGAUCGUGAAGACAUACGACUACAUCAACCACGUUCUCAUAACGCUUCCGCUUAUGGUCUACGAGGGUACGUGGACAAUACUCUCCCCUCUCGUUGCUAUGCAUCACCAUGAUCUUGCGUGUCCGUAGGAAAUUUUUGAAAUUACUACGUUGUCCAACACUUAAGAUAUUGCUCGUCAAGUUGAAGAAAAAUCUCUGAAUGCUAGAAUGUAAUAUGAUCCUAAAUUUGUUACUUCACCUAUCUUUUUACUGAUAAGGAUUAUGAAUUCUCUGUCGAUUCUGAGUUAAUUACUUUGGUUGAAUCUGAUCCUUUCCAUGGUUAUGAGUCAGAAACUGUUGUGGCACAUCUUACUAAAUUAAAUGACAUAGCCACCCAAUUUGCUCAUGAGGAAAAAAUUCGCUUUUGUUAUAUUCUCAAGUUGUUUCCUUUCUCUUUAAAGGGUGAUGCUAAGAUAUGGUUUAAUUCUCUUUCUCCUGGUUGUGUGCGUAGUCCCCAGGAUAUGAUAUACUACUUCUCUAAAAAAUAUUUUCCUGCUCAUUGAAGAAGAGACUCUCCCACAAGUUGAUUUACAGGAAAUUUUUAACUUUGUGCAAAUUGAAGAAGAGACUCUCCCACAAGCUUGGGGGAGGCUUCUCCAAUUACUUAAUGAUUUGCCUGAUCAUCCACUACUAGGGAAAACCUUAUAGACAGGAGCUUACUAGUAGCACUUUUUAAAAGGUAAUGCUGCUACUAAUUAUUAGUAGCGCUUGGCCGCAGAAAGCGCUGCUACUAUGCGCUUAUCGGUAGCGUUGUAGCUACAAAACACACUACUAUUAUAAUUGCCAAACCGUUUGCCAGCAGGCCAGGCAUACUAGUAGCGCUGGUGUGCAAAAAACGCUACUGCUAUUGUACGUAGAAAUAGUGCCUUCCUCUGACCAGCGCUACUGCUAAAUUUAGCCCCCUCCUAUGACCAAAGUUUAGUCCCACCUCGCUCCGUGAAUAGAAUUUUUACCACCUUAAAUAUGGUGCUUCCCAAACUAUCACAACCAGUUGGUCUUCAUUGAACUCUAUGUGUAGGAUUUGUGGCAAUAUGAAUCUUCGCCUGUACCUAUACAGGCGAAGAUUCAUACUAACAAUUUAUAUUUUACACAAAAAGAUCGAUGAUGACCAAUGCAUUUUUUACUUUGAUGCCUUUUUUGCAUGCUAAAGAUAGGAGUUCACCAGUAGCGCCUGUUCAAGGAAUGCGCUGCUGCUAUAUAGCAGUAGUGCUUCGGCAGCAUGGGCGCUGCUACUAUGAUCAUAGUAGCAGUGCUGAACCUAUAAAACGCGCUACUACUAAUGAUCAUAGUAGCAACGCUUCUUACCCGACCAGCGCUACUGAUAAAUUCAGUCUCCCUCCUAGACCAAAGUUUAGUCCCACCUCGCUCUACGAACAGAAUUUUUACCACCUUAAAUAUGGUGCUUCUCAAACCAUCACAACCACUUGGUCUUCAUCGAGCUCUAUGUGUAGGAUCUUGGCCGCAAUAGGAAUCUUUGCCGGUUCUUAAACCUGCGAGGAUUCCUAUUGACAAUUCAGAUUCUACACAAAAAGAUCGAUGAUGACCAAUGCAUUUUUUAAUUUGAUGCCUUAACGAUCAUAGCCUUAGUAGUAGCGCUGGUUAAGAAAAAACACUACUGCUAUUGAUCGUAGCAGUGGCGCUUGUUAGAAACAAGCGCUACCACUAAAGCCCUUAUCCAAAACCGGCCGCGCGCGCGUCCCCUCACUUCCCCCCUCACACUCACAUCGUGCGUCGCUCCAUCGCCGCCGUCCCUCCUCCUCCAUCAUCGUCAUCCUCCUCCACCCCAAGGUGCCUCUCUCCUCCUCCCCCNNNNNNNNNNNNNNNNNNNNNNNNNNNNNNNNNNNNNNNNNNNNNNNNNNNNNNNNNNNNNNNNNNNNNNNNNNNNNNNNNNNNNNNNNNNNNNNNNNNNNNNNNNNNNNNNNNNNNNNNNNNNNNNNNNNNNNNNNNNNNNNNNNNNNNNNNNNNNNNNNNNNNNNNNNNNNNNNNNNNNNNNNNNNNNNNNNNNNNNNNNNNNNNNNNNNNNNNNNNNNNNNNNNNNNNNNNNNNNNNNNNNNNNNNNNNNNNNNNNNNNNNNNNNNNNNNNNNNNNNNNNNNNNNNNNNNNNNNNNNNNNNNNNNNNNNNNNNNNNNNNNNNNNNNNNNNNCCUCUCCAGCGGUCCCCUCCUCCCCCCUCUCUGGUGGCCCCCUCCUCCUCCUUUCUCUCGGGCAGGCCCCUUGAAGAUGUCCUAGACUAGGGGGUACUCACCACAUCAUCUCCCGAUCUGUUAGAUUGGGCCGAGGACCCCCAUGGUCGUAUACUCAUGGGCCAGUUUGGACAGCUGCCGCAUACAUGGAAGGUUCUACAAGACUUGGUGAUCAAGACAAGGACUCCUCCCCACCGGCGUAUUCGGCUAGGACUCUUGUUAUCCUAGGCCUCUGAUGCAUUAUAUAAACCGAGGCCAGGCUAGUCGAUAGAUAAUAUACAACAAUCAUACCAUAGGCUAACUUCUAGGGUUUAGCCUCUCUGAUCUCGUGGUAGAUCAAAUCUUGUAAUACUCAUAUCAUCAAUAUCAAUCAAGAAGGACAUAGGGUAUUACCUCCAUCAUGAGGGCCUGAAUCUGGGUAAACAUCGUGUCCCCUGCCUCCUGUUACCAUCGAUCCUAAACGCACAGUUUGGGACCCCCUAUCCGAGAUCCGCCGGUUUUGACACCGACAUUGGUGCUUUCAUUGAGAGUUCCGCUGUGUGAUCGGCAAAAGGAUCAAUGGCUCACCCGCAGGUUAACUGCGACGCCGACAUCUUCGUCGCCGGCUUGACUGGUCACCUUGGCUCGACCGAGGACCGUGCUCCAUCUUCGAUCGUCAUGUUCGGAUGGGGGCCUUCUUCAACAUCAACUCCGAUCUCUAUCAUGAUCACAAAGGAGUCAUCGAUGGAGCUCGAGGGCUCAACGUCAACAUUGCCCUCGGGCGGCCGUGCUGUUUUUAUGGACAGCGAACUUGUAUUCGCCGUUACCACCUCCUCGAGCGUCGGUUUGACGAUUGCUUCGGUAGAAUAGUGCGGAAUUACGUCUACAACAGCCAUGCAAAAUUUCGUUGAGUUCCGAUGGAGGAAUCUCCGACAAUCUACGAUAUACCGGAGCCCUGUCAAAUCUGGACGGGAAUCUAGACGAGUUUAGGGCGUGGUCUCCAGAGCCCAGCUCGGAGGUCCUUUGGAAGAUCCAACCGUUCAUUUACUGCGGAAUUCCCAUAUCUAGCACCAAUCCAAAUUUCAGCUUGAUCUGAUGGUUCAAACUCCGGGGACCUUCCCAUGAGUGGACCAAUUUUUGGAUCCGUUUUCUGCGCGAAUACGGAUCCGACCCGAAUUCAUGUUUCUUUAUGAACGUGAUAUUGGACAAACUUUUUAGAGGAAUUCUAUUCUAGGGUAUUGUGCAUUGUUUUUAAACAUGUGCCCGUAAAUUUUUAAGCCUCCCCUGAGGUCAUCUUCAUCAUUAUGCUGGUGUCAAACUAGUCCGGCAAUAUUGCUCCAAGGCUGCCGACCUGCGCUAGACACGUUGUCACUUUGUUGAGCCGAGCUCAACUUCU
RNAcentral lists this long non-coding RNA (82459 nucleotides) under Triticum aestivum (bread wheat). Its description in RNAcentral is "long non-coding RNA (TAES_LNC024745)". Lineage: Eukaryota; Viridiplantae; Streptophyta; Magnoliopsida; Poales; Poaceae. The record is from RNAcentral.